AGGGCAAGUUUUGAAACCUUUCAAAACUAACUAGAUCAAAAUUCAAAUAAAUAAUUAAACAAUUAAUUAUGGUGAUAAUCUAAUUUUGANAUAAUAUUACUUGCAAAACAAUUCACUAAUUCAAUUCAAAUAAUCAAUUAUUAUCAUAUAAGGAAAUUAUUAUUCAACUAAUUGGUAAUUAUCUUUUGUUAGAUCAAGAACAUACUCAUAUAUUUGAUUAAAAUCAGAUUUUAAUGACCCAAAACAAUUAAGGCAAUUAUCCUCAAGUAAAACAACAAGAAAUCCCGAAACUACCUCAUUCUGACGCUCGAACUCGCCGAGUUCCUCUAUGGACUCGCCGAGUUGGAGCUACUCACCGAGUCCACAGUGGAACUCGCCGAGUUCAUCAGGAAAAAUCACAAAAAUCGAUUUUUUCAAGCAACAAGCAAUCAACUAAUGCAUCAAUUCAAUAGAAAUCAAUCAAAGAUCUGAUACCACUGAUGGGUUUGAGCCAUAAGACCUUAGCUAUGUGCACAUGCAAACCCUAAUUGCUUGGAUCUAGGUUUAUCUAAUUGAACAUGCAUUGUAUCCAAGACUUACAAUACUAGAUCUAGUGUAAACAAUUGAAUCUAAUCAUAUGAAUUUGGAUCUAGAACAAUACCUUGGAUUACUUGCUUGAUACUUUUUCUUCUUGGAACUUAGAGUCACAAUUGUCACUCCUCUAAUGGCUUACAAACACCAACUAGCAAGAGAAUGAUCUUCAGAGAGAGAGAGAGAGAGAGAGUGACAGAGAAAGGAGGGUGAGAAAUCGGCUCUAGGGUUCCUUGCCUUGCUUGAGUGCCGAUUUCCCUCACCCAAGGGAUCUAUUUAUACUAUGAGCUAUUAGGGUUUCACCUUUAACCCUAAUUGAAUAACUUAGGCCCUAAGCAAUCCAAGAUCCUCCUAGAUACUAGGCUUGGACAAUUUUAUGGUCUCCAAACCCUAAAAUCCAUCCACCUUUAUAUACAUAAGGAUACAUAGCUCAAAACACAACUAUCACACAUUUGACAGUUUAUGCCCCUUUAUUCAAUUAACCUUUUUAAGUCACCAAAUUAAUUCUCAAUUAAGAUAUGACUUAUAUUAAUCAAAUAACAUUAUUAUUCCUUUAAUAUAUUAUUAUCAUAAUAUAUUAACAAUAAUAUCUCUUCUCUCUUAACAAAUCAUCCUGUCAAGUUGCUAUAGUGAAGGCAACCCAAAAGGACCAUGCACAACCAGGUCAAGUACUUACCAAAUAUAGUUACAACCUUAGACACUAAUCCAACAGUUUGCAGUUUGUCAAUGCGCACGCUAUCAGGCUAAUCCUAAACUUUCACAUCUUAUUGCUGUCAAAAGAAUCUUUCGGUAUCUCAAAGGCAUCCCAAAUAUGGGUCUUUGGUAUCCGAAAAAUUCUGAAUUUGAUUUAUAUGCAUUUACUGACAGUAAUUAUGGAGGUUGUGAGUUUGACAGGAAAUCUACAUCAGGUGGAUGUCAAUUCCUUGGUGAUUGGUUGGUGUCUUGGCAAUGCAAGAAACAACACACCAUCUCAACCUCAACAGCAGAAACAUAAUAUGUUGCUGCCUCUGCUUGUUGCUCUCAAGUCAUAUGGAUCCAACAUCACCUGUUGGAUUACGGUUUGAACUAUUUAGAAACCCCUAUAUUUUUUGAUAAUGAGGUUGCAAUUCAGAUUUCUAAAAAUCCAGUCCAGCACUCGAAAACCAAGCACAUUGACGUUAAAAUUCAUUUCAUCAUAUAUUGUUAUGAGCGUUAGCUCAUUCGGCUGGAACAGGUUCCCACUGCUAAUAAUAUGACGAAUGUAUUCACAAAGCCGUUUAACAAAUCUUGAUUCGAUGUGCUUGUGAGUUUUUUUGAAAAUGAUAUGUUUUGUGGACUAAUUUUUGUUUUAGGUUAGUUUAAGUUUGGGUAUUUUAAUUUCCUACUCACCGAUGCACAAAUUUAGAGGGAGAAAUAAACAAGAUAAAAAAAACAAACAAAAAUUACAAAAUUAAAAAAUCCAAAAACAUUAUAAAAUCAAAAAAUUAAAAAUAUAUUGCUGAUAGUUUCUAUUUGUAGGUGAUGCGCUGAGAAGUGAUAUAAUCAUGUGAUAACAGACAAUCUGAAUCUGUGUAAGUUGCCAAAGUCGAAUUGUCUGAGCUCUGUGCUCGAUGCGUUGGUAGGCACGAAAGUUUUCAAAAUGGACUUGACUAGGAUCAGAUGAACUUAAGGAAUCUAGAGACCUGACAAAUCAAUGAUCUAGAUAGUUUCAUUUAGCUCGACAAUACGACGCCUAGGUAGGUUGAGCAGAGAGAUAUACAUGAGAAUCUGCGGAUACAUUAAACAAUCUGUAUUUAGAAAUGUGGAUUAACUUUUCCUCUGUGUGGAUUUUGUCCUUAAUUUCGGUAUUGACGGGGUAACUGGGGAAUUCCGAUAAAUUAGGUCUGUGGAAAAUUAUUUUCUUUCUUUAUAUCUGUUAGUCAUAUGUUGCUUCCUCUGCUGAUUGGAAGAGAUCUAACCUGGAUUGCAGCAUAUGCAACUCUGUCUCUAUGCAUCCUCUUCUAUGCUAUUCUUCCUACCUGUUAGUCAUAUACUGUCUCCUUUGUGUGAUUAACAAUCUGACCUGGUACACAGUAUAUGCAACCUUCUACUUCUCAAUCCCUCUAAACUCUAGUUAGUCAUAUGUUUCACUCUCUGCGUGAUUGGAAGAGAUCUGACCUGAGUGUACAACAUAUGCAUUCUAAAUCUGUCUUCCUUCUUAAUGAUUGUCUGCUCACCUGAAGUAAGGAGUAUUCUGGAAGUCCUUGAUUAUUGGAGUAUAACUGGAAGCGGGAAACACGUUCUAAUACAAUUAAAAUUGAACACUUUAUAGGUUGUUCGUAGAUCUCGCUGCUCAAUUUAAGUGGACAACAAUAUCCUUGGUCUUCAUCAGCUGAAUGGUCUUUUAGGAACAUUAUCUAAGUUCAUAAGAUCUAAGGUCUUGUCACAUAUAGUAUGUCCUCAAGUUUAUCAAAACUUUUCGUGUUUAAGUGGACCACAAUACCGGCGAUCGACCAAACAUGGACGUGAAAGCAGAAGUACCGAUAAGUGGACUAAGGUUGUCUAACAACUCUGAUCCCAAUAUCACAAAGUUAUUUUUAGUAUUAGUUGAGGUGAAAUUAGUUUUAAUUCAUUUUAAAAUCUCAAUUUCAUUUUUUAUUUUUAUUUUUAUUUUUAUUUUUAUAAAAAAAAAAUUUAAUUUUUUUAGUUUUUUUUUUUAAAUUAGUUUUAUUUUUAUUUUUAUUUUUAAUUUCCUAUUUUAUUUUAUUUUAUUUUAUUUUUCUCAAACUAUUUUACUUUUAAUAAGUUUUGGGGUAUUGGACUUCAUUUUAUACAUUGUGGAUUGCACUCCAUAGCACUUGGACUAGGUAUAUAAGAAAGAUCAUCAGCCGAAAACUACUCCACCCCUCAUUUUACCGUUCUCGGUUGCAAACUCUCGUCUUCUCUCUCUCUCUCUCUAAAAUUUAUUCGUAAAAUUUCAAGAAAUUGAUCCGUUAACUUUGAAGGUAUACUAAUUCCGAUCAUAGAUAUGUGAUUCUCGCAUCAAAUCGAAGGGCAUUGAGGGUUUAAUCGACGAAAAAUUAAACUCGAUGUUUACGGCCAACCAUUUACGGCCGGUUGUUUACGACCGGGCGUUUACGGUCGCAAACUCUAUCUUGACUAUAAACUUUGUUUUUGGUCAAACUGCUUCUAAUUUUGAAAUUUGUAAAAUAAGAAUAACAUUAAUUCUUAAUGAUCAAAUAAAUUGUUUUUUCUCACUUGGCCUGUUUUAGUGCAGAUUGUAAUCGCGGAACUCAAGUUUGCUGACAAUCACAAUCUGGCUAUCCUUUUGGCUGACCCUCCUGUUGCCCACGGAGAAUUCAAAUCAAUGAUACAUGGAUUGAGAGAAUGUUGUCUGUCUACUACAAUGACUGUUAAUCCAACUAUAUUUCAAGGCCUAAUAAAAGAAUUCUGGAAGACAACAGAUGUCAAGAAAGGAAGUGAUGGCUCUGUUUCUGUUGAAGCUACAUUCAAAGACUGCAAAAUUAUCAUCACAGAAAAGUUCAUCAGGGAUGUGCUCAAAAUUGACGAUCAAUCAACCUUCCCCUCUGAGAUUGAGAUUUAUCAAGUUGAAGAAUUUCUUAUUAAAAUAGGAUAUGAAGGUGUUUUCCCUCUAACUUUGAAGAAGCUGCUGCCACUUUUCUGGAGAUUUUUAGCUCAUGUCUUUGUGAGUUGUAUUUCCGGAAGAAAAUCUGUUGCAUAUGAAAUUUCUUUCAGAAAUACUGGUGCCAUCAUCUCUCUGGCUGCAGGACUGAACUACAAUUUCUCCAAAUUCAUCCUAAAUGAGUUGAUUGCAAAUAUCCAAGCAAAGACAAGGGACAAGUUCUUGUUGUACCCUUGAUUCAUUCAAAUUUUCAUUAAUGAACAAUUUCCUGGAAUGACCAACGAAGGUGAAACCCUCGAUAUGAAGCCACUUGGACCAAACACCGUUGGUUUAAUGAAGCAAAACAGAAAGGGAAAAUCACUUUUCAAGGAAAGUAUCCCUUGGUGAAGUUCGACUUGUUUGCCGAUUCAUGUGAGGCUUCUGAGUCUCAUGUAUCAUCUGAUCGCAUGACCUCUGAAGACGAUAUCAUUUCUGAAGAUGAUGUUAUUCCAGUUUCUGAUCACGAAGAUAAUGUAGAUACACAUGUUUCCAUUGUAGCUGAAGAGCAUAAUCUACAUUCGGUACAAGUUGAGAGUGAUAACAUCGAGGGAAAGACAGAGGAUGCGACAGAGAACGAAGAAGAUGAUGGUGAUUAUUUUUCUAAUUUAGAUCUUACUAGUUUUGACAAGGAUGUUAUUUCCUUGAAUUUUGGAGGCAAUGAAAAGCUUUUGUCAAAUGAAGACCACUAUACAUUCUUUGACAAUAUCUAUGAUGUUGCUCAUCCAGCAACGGAGACAAGGGAGACAGAAGAUGCUCUUGAAACAACACCUCCUUCUUCUAAUCAAAUGACUGACACUUCAACUCCUAUGGAGACAACCUCAGGGAUUCCUCCCCUUGAGGAUGUCAUUCCUACUGCUGAACCAACAGUAAGUGAUUCAUUAAUGAAUCAGAUCUCCUCACCUCCAUUAAAGAGGAGAAGAUGCGAUCCAAGACAGGGAGUUCUUGUUCCUGAUCUGUCUCAAGGCCUUCCGAAUCAACCAAUAACUAUUUCUUUUGCUGCUACUUCAUCUAUUCCAUCCAAUGAAGGUCCAAGUACUAUUUUUGAUGUUGGUGGUCCUUCAGCUCCCUAGAAUCAUCUCCUCCCAGGCCUUAUCAUGAAGUUGUCUCUUAGAUACUUGCUUUACAUCUGGCCCAAGAACAAAGCUCAGAGCCUUCCUCCCGAGCUAAAGGAAUUUCUAUUGAGGAAGGCCACUCUGGAGAAGAUUACCCACUAUUCUUGUACUUCAAAAGGAGAUCAGCGUGCUUAAUCAGAAGAAUAUUGAGCUUGAUAUCUGUUUGGCCAAUCUUGAAGCUGAAAAGGCCCAAAUUAAAAUAUGUGUUGCAGAUCUUGUAGCCGAUAAAACUCUAAAAAUCUCAACAAAUUUAUGAUCUGCAAACACACAUGGGAAUGCUGACUGCAUGUUAUUUUGAUCUAAAGAAGAAGAUGGCAGAGGAGUUUGGCAACAAAUUCAAAUCCAGUGCCAACCAAUCAUCUGCUCAAGAUCCCCCUGUUAACCCGCCCACUGAAAGAACAUCUUGGGUCGUUGAUCGAUUUGAGACCGAACCAGUUCAAGCACCAAAUGUAGUUUCUCUUAAAUGUGCAAAAAUUGAAGCAUUUGACAAGAAAAAGCAAGUACUGUUCAAGAAGAGCUAAGACCAAAAUGCUUCUGGAAAUCAGCCCUCAAUCACCGUCACUAACCUUGAAAGAAAGAAAUUUGGACAUGAGUACGGUGACCGAACAUGAAUUGUCUCAUGGGGCUUUCAUGACGGGCUAAACAUCUGGUUAGUGAGACGCUAAAGAAAAAAUGUGGAGUACUACAAAGACUUCCAUGAUUUCGGUUCCUGGACUAGGGUUGAUCUUUCAGAACUAGCAAGUACUCCAUUCGUGAAUCCUUCUAGAGAUCUAAAGGAAACUCAUUUCAAACUGUUAUUGGAGGACCAAGUAAAGAAGGGAUUUUCUGGAAUGAAGACUGCUUAUUCUUUUUUUAAAAUAUUCCCUAAAGUACUGGUUCCCAAGACAAAAAAGCCUUUUCAGACUGUUAAGUAGCCACCAACCAAUCAAGUCAAACAAAUUUCGGUGCUGCAAAACUUCAGUGAUGGAUCUCUUGCUAAAAUGCUUUACAGAGUGUAUGAUGAAACAACUGCGACUGCUAUCAUAAAAUUCAAAUAUAGUUGCUUUCACCUAUAUGACAAAAGAGACCUACUUCAAUUUGAAAAUGAGAUAUUCAUCAAUUGUCUCUACAUCAGAUCAAGGUGGCUGAAGAGAUUUUUGAGUCUGCUGCGAAGGAGUUAACAUCAAUGGUCGCCGAGAUUAUUGCAAAAGAGAUGUGGCAAGGGGCAAUGGGGGGUCCGACGUGCUUAUAAUUGAAAAAGACUGAGUGUCGGCUAGCCCCAAACCAAGGGGGAGAUUUAAGGGUCCAUUUAAUGGUUUGGGCUAGGCUAUUUAAUGUAUAGUUCUUUUGAUUCUUUUGGAUGUAAUUGAUGUGUUUUUGGUGAGUUUACGGCCAUAGAUAGUUUAUGGCCGUAAACCUGUUUACGGCCAUGACUUUUCCCCUAUAUAUAAUGAGUCUCUGAGUCUGUUAGUUGUUUUUGAUGGUUCACUAUUGUUUACGGUCUUUAGUGUCUGUCCGAGUUGUACUAGAUGUUUUUUCUGAUAUAAAUGUGUGCAAGAUUUGGUUUAAUAGUCUUCCUCUCAAUUCUUAUCUUGUUUGAUUGUUAGAUUGCUUGAUCACUGGUUAAGAUCCUUGUUUCUAGCACCCGACAAAAUCAUAAUCUCCCGUCACGUCACCUUUGAUGAGACUAUUUUUCCUUUCAGUUCUGUCACCCUGACAUACCUCCAUCCUAUGAAUUUCUUGACACAAAUACUUCUCCUAUGGCUCAUAAAUUUCAUAUAACGGGAACACCCAACUUCAAUACAUAAUCACACGUUCCCGCUGCCCCAUCGUCAAAAACUAUCGAGCAUGUCUUGUCUCUGACAUCUUCCUCUUUGAUGUCCCCCUCUUUUGCUGAUGAAGUUUCUCAACUGGGUAUCCAUCCCUCCUCGACUGCCCCAGAACCUAUUGUUGAUCACAGUACUUUCGACUCUUCUCCUAUCAAUCAUGGACCCACUAUUCCCCAUGGAUUUCCUACUCUAAUACCCUUGGUAACUACUGCCACCUCUCAACAUCCUAUGAGAACCCACACCAAACUGUAUAUCUUAAAGCCCAUCCAUCUUCUCAAACUCUUCACAAAAUAUCAAUUAGAGUCCAAAAUUCCUCACUCCUAUUCCCAAGAAAUUAAGGAUCCAAAUUGGCUUACUGCAAUAAGUGAAGAAUAUAAUGCUCUUAUUGCUAAUGGUACGUGGAAAAAAUUACCCCACCCCGUAAAUGUUAAUAUUGCUAAUUUUAUCUGGUUCUUUAAGAAGAAGCAUAAUGUCGGUGACACCCUAGCUCCCUAUAAGGGUCGUUUGGUGGCCAACGGGAAAAGCCAACAAUCUUGCAUCGAUUGUGACGAAACUUUUAGCCCGAUUGUUAAGCCGACCAACAUACACACGUUUUGAGCUUAGUUAUUUCUCAUCACUGGCCGAUUCAUCAGCUUGAUGUCAAAAAUGCUUUUCUCCAUGGGCAUCUUAAGGAGACAGUAUACAUGUAUAAACCAACAUGGUUCAAGGACCGAGCUCAUCUAGACAACAUUUUUCAUCUUCAACACUGUCUUAAUGGAUUGAAGCAAGCUCUCAGAGCUUGGUACCAUCAGUUUGCUUAGUUUGCUACUCGACUUGGCUUCUUCAACAAACGUUGCGACUCAUCUCUAUUUAUUUAACGCAAAGGCAAAGAUAUUGCAUUUCUGCUCCUAUAUGUUGACGAAAUCGUUCUUACGACAUCAUCUACGACCCAUUUACAAAAAAUAUUUUUUCUCAUAUCUUUGGGCCCCUCGGUGAUUUGGUGUUGACAUUAUAGUGAUGGGCCCAACCAGGACUGAAGUGAUGUGUUUAAUUAGUAGUCUAAUGAGGUCAUCACAAAUCAAGAAAUCGGGAAACAAAAUUUUAGACUUGAGAUUGAAUGUAAUCAAUGUCUCAUUUACAUAUGAUAUCUUGAAGAACAGAGGAAUAUUUGAAUACUUAUCUUAGGGCCAAUGUCUAAUCAGAUCAAAGUCUGGCAAUUGCUUUGGAAAGCAUGCUUUGUUGUUUGAUUUAGAAGAUAUACUUGCAAUUAUAGUUAUAGACUUAUCCAAGUGGGAGACUGUUGGAUUAGGUGUCUAAGCCAAUAACUAAAUUGGUAUAUACGUGAAUUAAAAGCAAAGUCCUUUUGGGUUGCCGUCAAAACUAAUAAAUUUUGGAGAGAGAGGUUGAUCUAUUGAGUUAAAAUAUGAUUAAUAAAUAGCAAUAAAUAAUUUCUUAAUAUAUUAUGAGAUUAAUAUAAUAAUUAGAAAUAGUAUUCUUUUAUUAAUAAUUAAUUAGGAGUUAAUUUUAGGGUUGAUUGUAUUAAUUAAAAGUGUAGGGGCUUAAGCUGUAUUUGUUUAAUAGUUAAACAAGAGAGGUUCCACAAGGUCAUUUUUGUGCUCUUAUCACCUCAUUGCUCAGAUAAGGAAACCCUAGCCGUGAUUUACUACUUCCUCGUGUGUGUCAGCUUAGAAGGUCAUUUUUGUGCUCUUUUGGAUGGGUUUUGAAGUUUGAAGAUGUUGGAGUAAAGGGAGAAGCAAUAGAUCCGACAUCUAGUUGGUUUUGGUAACCAUUUGGAGGUAAAAAGUCUUUACCUUGACCUCUUAUUUCUUAGAUCUUCCCUUAUGCAAGAAUAUGGUCAUUUCUAGUGCAAAAUGGAGUCACUCUCGGGUUUGAGCUUGUCAUGAGGACACACUUUCAGAUCUGGACUCCUCUAGGCCCCCAUGGACAUAGAGUUAUCGACUUUAUCCAGUCUUGCCCCUUCUUCGUGCCCUAAACCUCUUCUUAAGCUUAUUUUUGGGUGUUUUAGCCUCUUGAGGCCUUGCAUGCACGUAAAGUUUGCAACUUUACGUGGUAACUACAACCUAAGGGGAUAAAUCUACAGUUUGGAGCCUUGGUUUCGCUUAAAAGCGUCUAAAUAAGAAAAGGGCUAAAGGAACUCGACGAGUUUCUUAGCCAACUCAACGAGUUGGAUAAGGGUUUUCCCACUCUCUGCAUUCUAAGUGAACUCGGCGAGUUGGUGAGAUAACCCGACGAGUCGGUUAAAGUUUUCCCGAUCUUCUGGAUACUACAUGGACUCGACGAGUUGUUUAGCAACUCAGCUAGUUGACUUGAGUUUUCAUGAUUUUUGAGUUCUGAAGGAACUCGACGAGUCAGUAAGUUGCACUUGACGAGUUGGGUCAACAUGGACUGUUGAUCUUGACCGUCGACUUUCAGUUUAACUAAGGGUCGACCAAUUUUGACUUCUGAGGGUAUUUUGGUAAUUUGGGAUUUUGAGGGAAUUAGUCAUAUGGUGGUUACUGGCGGUUGAGUUCGGAGUUGUGAUUGGGCGUUAGAUAUUGUCACUAUAGCACUUCUUGUGAGGUAAGUUCUCCUCGCUAUACUCAAGGGUCUAAGACACCAAGGUCGACCCUUUCGGUUGUUAUCCUGGUUAUCUUAUGGUUGUGUGCUCUCAUGAUCUGUUAGAUCGGUAUCCUAGUAGAUAGGAUGAUGGAAUGCUUAGUGAUCUGCUAGAUCUGCUUGACUGUCUGUAGACUAUUAUGUGCUUACCUGAUAUAUGUGCACAUGUUUGGUUGGUAGUUGAGGGUAUUCCAUCCUUAGGAUGAUUGGACCCCUAAUAUGUUCACUUUGUAGACUGUUAUGUGAUUAUAUGAUGUAUGUGCACAUGUUUGAUUGUUAGCCGAGUGUAUUCCAUCCCGAGGAUGAUUGGACUUAUAGUAUGUAGGCAUUCGAACCCGAAGGUUGUGGGUCAAGAGUAUUCCAUCCCGAGGAUGAUUGGACUCAUAGUAUUUUGCAUUCCAAGCUGAUUGUUGAGGGUCGCGGGUAUUCCAACCCGAUGAUUGAUUGGACCCAUAGUAUGUUGGCAUUCCAACCCGACGGUUGAGGGUCUGGGUGUGACAACCGUCAAAAUUCGACUCGGUUCUAGAUUUGAAUAAACUUAGUUGCACGUAUAGGCACGACACAUACUAGACUUAGUAACUAGAAACUUGGAAACAAUUAGAAACAAUGGAUAAUGUGCUUAGAUUUCACAUUGAUAUGUGAAUUCUACAUCUACUGAGCUGUAGUGACUAUCCAUAUUUGGGUCACUCUUUGACUCGAACAACAUCUCAUGAUCAUAUACACACAUCAUGCACUUGACCUAGAAGUAGAAGUUAGUUCAAAGUCUCAUAGAAACCUAAUUCAAAGUUGAAGAGUAGGGCUAGUAUACUUGAUUCCUCAAUUUCGCUUAAAUCUCGGAAUCACUACAUAGAGUGCCAAUAAACCGAUAAACAUAAAUUACAAACAUUAUUUAUAACUAUAAAAGAGUUAUAAUACCAUAAAAUAAUUUGAAUUCUCAAAGAUUCAAUUCAUUUUGAUAUCCAAAGAUUUAUUAAACUCCAAAAACCCUAAAAGCCAUAAAAACUCAUAGUUAUAAACUUUAACCUUAAAGUUUUUAUAAAAAUAAUUAUGAACCUUAUAAAAUUAUCUUAUAAUAAUAAAAAUUAUGAAAAUCCAUUCAAUAAAAAUAAAAAAAUAAAAAAAUUUAUGUCAUUGACAUUACCCUUAAUUUAUAAGACAAAAUACAACUGAACCUUAUAAAAACUAAAGAUGAUUUUUAUAAAAACUAAAGAUGAUUUUUAUAAAAAUGUUUAGGAUGCCAUAUUUAUUCAAAUUAAAGAUUUAAAAGCAUAUUAAAACCCUCUCUAAUCCCUCUUAAAUUCGGACUCCACCUCCCAAGAAAUCUCUUCCCGACAAACAUUAAUCAUUCAUCACCCACACACUCCAUCUCCUUCACUUGUCUCUCUCUGAUUUCUCUCUCACACUCUCACACACAUUUUUUCUCCUCCUCUAUCUAUGAACCAUGAAAUUUACAGAAGAUAGGACCCAAAAACACUCCUUAAACUCGAAAUGUUCAUCCUCUAGGAGUGUUCUUAAAGGUAAACCCGAAAAUCCUUCAUUUUCCUUCACUUUUCUUUCUUGUUUAAAAGGUUUUUUUUGCACUUCUCAUUCUUCUACACCCUUCUUUAUGAACAAUCAUGAACACUUGCUCAAACUCACGGUUUUGAUGAUGAUGGUGGUAGGAUUUCACCCGAAAACAACAUGCGUGUUGUAAAUGGUGAAAUCCAAAGAUCAAACCUAAGUCAAAAUCAACAUAAUGCACUUUUCUACAAGUUUUGUGCGAAAAACACCACAUGCAUCCAAUGUUUUCCAUAAAAAAAUGAUUUUUGAACAUUUCAAACUCAUGAAUGGUCUUCAAACAAACAUGCAUGUGAUUAUCUUCAAGCUUAGAAGCUAGAUCAUCAAAGUAUGUUGUUAAAAGCUUUCAAAUAUGUUCAUGAAGGAUUUAUUUCCAAAUAAAUAUCUAAAACUCGUUUUCUGACCAAAUCCGAUUUUUCCCAGAUUCCUACCAACAAAAUGAGAUGUUCUACAAAUUUUCAGAAAAUAAUUCGUUUUGCUAGAAUUAUUAUAAUUGUUUCAAUAAUAUAUGUCAAUAAAUCAUAUAAAAUACUUAUGAGGUCUAUAAAUCCUAGGUAAAUUCUUGGAUGACUCCUAUGCUAAACAAAAACAUUUCAUUAAGUUUCAUCUAUUUUUGUUACUGUUUAGAGUGGUUUUCAAUUUUCUUUUUGUUUAGCCCCAAUAAAUCAUAAAAACGCUCUAGAUAAUAUUAAAAGGGUAUAUAAUAAUUUUCGCAGCUUAUAAUCUAUGUGUAAUACUUAGAAAAAUAUUUUCAGAAUUUUUCAUAAUUUAUUCCUACUUUUCUCCGAUUUUUGUAUUUAUAAUGGACUAAAAACAGGAAAAAUACUUUUACUCAUCCAAAAAUUAUAAAAAUUUACCAGAACACCUUGUAGUAUAUUAUGAAGCUACAUAAACAUUUUGAUGAUUUUUCUCUUCUGUAUACUAUUUUGCUCUUAUUUUCUAAGAUUAAAAACACUUAAAUACACAAAAUCGGAUUCCAGUAGAUAAAAACCACCUUUGGGAUUUUUCCCAGAUGACUUACACUGUAAAUGAACUUUACAAAAAAUUUUGGUAAUUUACUUUAACUGUUUAAUAAUUAUUCUCCAAUUAAUGAUUAUUUAAAAGGAUAAAACAAAGAAAAAUAUAAAGACUAAAUGAAAAAUAUCUUUUAUAUUUUUCAAAGCUUCUACAUGUAUAAUAAAAGUGUUACAAAAAUUUUGGGCAAUUUUAGAAACUGUUUCCUAUUUAUUUCAGUUUUUAUUAGAAUAAAUGCUCAAAAAUCAUAAAACUUUGUUAAACAGUUUAGAAAUCAAGUUAUAUAUUUUUUCUAGCUUAAUAAUGUUUAAUAACAGCAAUAAAAAAAUUUUGGAUAAUUUUGGAAACCGAUUUCUAUUUUUCAUGAAUUUGUAUCUAUUUAGAGAAUUAAAUAUAUGAAAAAUGGUUAUACAUAUCCAUAAUCCAUGAAAAGUUAUCUAGAAGUCUUUCAAAACAUUUAGAACCAAAAUCUGAAUUUUGGUAAUUUUUAUUAACUGUUAAUAUUUUGUUAUGAUUUUAUGGUUAUUCAAGAAACUAAAAUGGUGAAAAAUAGUCCGACAAAUAAAAAAUCCAAGAAAAUUUAUCUUGAGGUCCUUGACUUCAAUUAAAACUGAAAUGAAAAUGUUGGGAAAUUUUAGAACUAAAUUGAUUUAGUUUUUGAAUAUUUAAUCAUUAGAACACCUCUUAAAAUGUUAAAUAUUAGCAUUUCAAUAAUGAGAAUUUUCCACUUAAAUUUUUAUAUAACAAUUGAUUCUUUGAAAUUAAAUUUUCACAGAAAAAUGUUUGUAACUUAUCAAUAUUAAAUUUUCACACAUUAUUGGCAUAAUUUUAUUGUAGUAGUAAGUAUACUAGUGUUAGAUUUCGAAUAGAGACUCACUAGCGAAUACCAUUAUCGUAGGAAUCGAUUGUGUUACGAGUGGAACUUAGCUCAAGGCAUCAUUUGCAUCAUCUCAAUGCAUAUUAUGAGUAUUCACCACUACCCUAUUUUCGGUUUUUAUGUUUUGGGGGUGGAAAAGCAUGUCCUAAAAUAUUUAUGUUCGUUGUAUUUAAUUUGACUUGUAUCAAACUUGGCUGCUAUAUGUUGCUAUGUAUGUGUAUGUUAUUGUUAAUUCAUGAGGACUGUAUCGCGGUUAAGUCCCUGGAAUCUCUAGACACAACUCAUUAACUCUUUUGAGCCUAUGGUUAUUAUGGAUAGCGCUAUCAGGAGGUAGACAACUCCUCACUCGCACGAUUCACUUGAGUGCAUUUUACCAUUUUAUACACUAUGUUUGCGAUACACAUAUUAGUCAAUAGGGCACGAUUCGGUCAUUAGGCUUGGGUUGUGAACUCAUGAAUGGAAACUUGAUGCACAUACGAAUCUUUAUGCGCAUACGAAACUUGUAUUCUCAUGUUAGCAACAACACUUGUAUACUUAUUUUUAGCAAUGAAGCUUGUAUACUUAUUUUAGCAACAAACUUGGGUGCUUCUUAUAGUAACAAACUUGUUUGCUCCUUGUAGCAAUGAAACGAAACUUUUAUGCUUAUUAUAGCAAGGAACUUUGUUUCUCAUUAUAGCAACGAAAUUUUAUUACUAAAAACUUAUAUACUUGUUUUAGCAAUGAAAUUGUUUGCUCCUUGUAACAACGAAUAUUAUUUUGAUUCUGGAAAACUCAUUUUAGCAAUAUACUUUUAUUUAUGGAAACUUUUAUCAAAACUUUUAAUUUGAUUCUUGAAACCAAUAUUAUUUUUAAUCUGUGAGUACUCACCAACUAUUUUUAUAGUUGACGCUCGUUUUACAUGCUUUUUCAGGAAUCAUCGAGGAAGUGGCACUUAGGGACACUUCACUUUUAGGAGCAUUCGCAUGUGUUGUAUUUCAAUUUACAUUGUAAUUUCUUUUAAAACUUGUUCAAACCCGUUGUAAAUUUGUAAUGAUUUUUAAUACUAUGUUUGGUGUUGUCUUAAAACUUUUGCUAUGAAACCCUUUGUACUGCCACGCCUCGUGUUUCCGCUUUAGCGGGGUGUGACACUGGGGUAUUCUAACCCAAAUGUUGAUUGGACCUAUAGUAUGUUAGCAUUCCAACCCGAUGGUUGAGGGCCUGGGGUAUUCCAGCCCAAUGAUUAAUUGGACCCAUAGUAUGUUGUUUGUUAUUAUAUGUGUAUUGUUGUGUGUGGGUAUUUGGAGGUAACUCACUAAGCUUUCAAGCAUAAAUUUAUGGAUUAUUGUUUCAGGAACUUCAAAAGAUCGCGGGAAGAUGAAGGCGUUACCGAACACUUCCUCACAUGUUACGAUUUGGAUUUCUGGGAUACUCUGAUGUUUAAACUAUUUUGAAAACAAUUUUGUAUUACAUACCGGUUUUUAGAUGUUUGAAAAAGCUGAAAUUUUUGUGAAUUUUUAUGGAUGUUACAUGUUGGUAUCAGAGCCUUGGUUUGCGUGAAUUAGAGGAACACUCGUGUGAAUCCAGUCUCAAACUGAGGAAAAGUUUUCAAAAAUAAUUUUCAAAAAGUUUUCAACAUCCUAAGGAGGAUGCGAUGUGUACGAUCAGCCGGAUCCAGUAAGUAGACCCAAAAAUACCAUACGAAUAUCUGAUAUUGUGAUAUGUUAGAAUAGCAUGCUAGUGAUAGGCUAGGGAUCUUUAGGAAUUACAUGAUAGAAUUUCCUUAUGAUAUGAUGUCUAAUAGCCUAGGGAUUUCCUUAUAUGAAAUUGACAUCAUUACUAUAGUUUCUUAGUGUAUGCAUCAUAGUUGUACAAAAUUAAGAUCUUAUAGCCUGAGAAUGUUUGGUAUGGCGUUAUUUCGUGUUCAUGUUUAAUGAAGGGAGUAGGUUAGGAUCAGAUAUUCGAAUGUCUAUAGGGUCCAACAUUAUGUAUGACUAGCAUACACGAGUGCUGUUGGGUUGGUGAUAGUUUCAUGGAUGAGUUUUGCAGGGCGUUCGGCCAGUUGUGAGAUAUUUUGCCUUUCCUAUAGGGAGUGAGGAUAGAGUGCAUGGUCAUGGGUAUUAUUAGGGCGUUGUGAUGGUACUUGAGAAAAAUAUGGGUAGGUGUGGAAGGUAAUGUGGGCCCAUACUACUGAAAGCAUAGGACCCAUAUGUGUAGCAAGGAAGUUGCAAACCCCUAGGGAUUUGUUGGUAGUUUGUUUCCCGUUAUUACACGAAAUGUCUGAUAUCUUCCUGGUAUAUUUAAAGUAUGGUGACUACAAGGCGAUUUGAGACCGGAUCUAGGUCAAAUCGGGAGCUGGCAGCCAGGAUAGGCCAACAACGACAGAUGAUCGCGUCAAGGGGAUCAUUCAUGAGGAGGUGGUUGAAAUUGUCUGAGGUCAGAUUCCGGAGAUGUUUGGGUCUAUCUAGACCGCAAUGAUGGAGUAUUUUGAUGACAGGUACGCAACCAUUGCUAAGACUGUUGUUGUGGGUGUUGGGCCAGUGCGGGUAUUUAAGUAUUAGGAAUCCGAUAACACAAAGCCCGCAACUUUCGAGGGAGUUCAGGAUCCGAUUGUAGCCAUUGGGUGGCUGUCUGAUGUGGAGGGAUGUUUCUUCACUUGUUCAUGACCUGCUGUCCAGAAGGUUAGGUGUGCUCUGAACCUGCUAAGGUCCGGAGCGAAGGAUUGGUGGAGGUUGAUUAUGGGAUCAUACUCUGAUGAGCAGAGAGCUGCUGUGUCAUGAGAUCAUUUCAUGGAGAUGUUCCGCACUCGCUACAUUCCGUGGGUUGAUCGGGAGAGGUUGGCUUAGGAGUUCUUGGAGUUGAGACAGAGUAUAGAGUUGGUGAUCGAGAUCAAUCAGAUGUUUACUGAGAGGGUGAUGUUAUGCCCUGAGUUUGCUUCUGAGUAGGCUUAGGUGACUCUUUAUCUGAGCAUGCUUAAGACGCACAUCAGACAGUUCGUGUCUAGUCAGAGAUGUAAUACAUUGUUGGAGUUGUAGGAUGCCACUAGGUAGCGUUAGUUGGAGUUUGACCUUUAGUUGAGGGGGCAGAGACAGGCCCCAACAUAGUCACAUCAUGCACCAAAACGGUUUGGGCUGCUGACGCCAGGCAGGGGACCUCAGAGGGGUCGCAUUUGUGAGAAGUGCGAAAAGGUGCAUGAUGGGGUUUGUCGAUCUUAUUCAGCAUGCCACAAGUGUGGCAAGGAGGGUCACAUCACGAAGGAUUGUAGGUAGCAGACUCCAACUUCUGGUGUCAGACUUUUUUUACCAUUAUGAGCAGGUGGGCUAUAUGAAGGUCCAGUGUCCCCUACUAGCUGCCAGGCCGGCUCAAGCACCAUCGCCGACUACCUUGAGGAUCGCAGAUGGGAGUCAGGAUAGGGCGGGGCCCUGAGGGCUCAUGGACAUGCCUUUCUGCUCACUGCUGAGGAGGUCAGGAUUGCACCUGAUGUGGCGACUAGUAUGUUUUUGUCUCUUAUUUUAUUGUUUAAUGAUUGUAUUGUGAACUUUCAUUUUCCUUCUGCAUGAGAUGCUAGGACAUAAGAGGUUCAGUGGAAUUUAUUAUCAAGGGAUUGUAAAUGGUUAGGAUCCAGAGAUGCAUUUGAGGAUGAAAAGUUAGGGUAGAGAAUCUCCAUUCUAGGGUAAGUAGUUGUAAUUUGGAAAUUCAUAUGUAUUCAGAUGGGAUUCAGAUUUCUCUUGAAUUUCGAUUGCUCUGUUUCGGGAGGAUUGUUCUACGUAGGUUAUUCAUUCCAGGGUUAAGAAUGGUAAUACCUGGUUGGGAUGUUUAAGCCGUGUAUUGAUUUCGCCAUCAGUGGGCAAUGGUUAGUGUCCUAAGUGGGGGAGAAUUAAGAAUUCUCAGAUGCAGCGUCAACCAUUAAAGGUUUUGUCUAUUGUUGUUCGGAUAAUGGUUUCUAGAGUGGUUGGCGAUCAAACAUCAGAUAAAGGGUUUCACCAAGUACAUGUAUGGAGGUGAUUUUUUGAGUGUAUUUAUAGGUGUUCAAGGUAGCAUUAUGGUUUGGUUCGACUUAUGUGUAUGGUUAGGUCAGGAUUAUAAUCUACGAAUUGGAUCAAGAGUUCGAACCCCAAGUGGGGGAGAGUUGGCUAUUUAUGGAAAAGACACCAGGAUAGGUUCAAGGUUUUGCUCAACAGAUCUAGGGCUUCCUGAUAGACUGAAGGCCUAACAGGGCAUACCAAUCAGGCCAAAGGCUUGGAGAACGGUCCAGACAGGACGAAGGCCCGGAGAGGCGGUCCAGGCAUGUUGAAGGUUCUGAGAGUGGUCUAGAUAGGCUGAAGGCCCAGUGGGGCGGUCCAUUCAUGCUAAGGACUCUAGAUGUAUUUUCUUAGAUCUAUGUUCGAGUAUUGAGUGUGUUGCUACACUGUAGCAAUCGGUAGGUCUGUCUUCUGGUAAGGAGCAUGUUAGUCUGUGAUAAUAACAUGUGGAACUUUAGGUUAUUUAGGCUUGCUGGUUAUCACCUUAGGAACGGUCGGUGGUCAUGAAGGAGAGCCUGAAAACUCUUGGGUAGCAGCUCGUUCUGUAAGUGAAUCAUGUAUGGUAUGGUUUCGUCAUUGUGGUGCAUGGUAUGUAGGUUCGGGAGCUAAAGUACGCAUUAUCCUGUCAGCAUAAAAAGGGUUCAUCUCCAUGUUUACCUCCCAUUAUUCGUGUUAUCUCUAAAAAUUUGAUCUUUAAAUGAGCUUUCCUUGAAAGAAUAUAUAAUCUCUUUUCCAGCAAGAAUUAUAGGUGGCAGCGUAUGAUGUAUGAUUCUAUUUCUGGCGGGAACUUCAGGUUUUCAGGGUGUGAUCCGCUUCAUGAAGAAGGCAAGAUGGUUCCCGAUAUAUUGGGCCAUUUCAGGUUAUUACCAAGGUUGACAAAGCGGCGUAUCGACUGGAUCUUUCGGAGGAGCUCAGUUAGAUUCAUAGUAGUUUCCUUAUUUCACAGUUGUGAAAGUGUGUGUUGUACGGAGAUGUUGUGGCAUCAUUGGGUGAUAUUUAGGUCAAUGAGCGCCUGAAUUAUGUCGAGAGGCCGAUGACCGUCUUGGAAAUAAAGGUAAAGGUUCUGCGUGGCAAGGAGAUAGCUUUAGUAAAGGUACAGUGGCAGCAUCGGAAGGGAUCCGAGUAGAAUUAGGAGCCAGAGGAUAAGAUGCAAGAUCAUUAUUCAGAUUCGUUCACUGCAGCAGGCUUCGAGGAUGAAGCCUAGUUCAAUUGGGGGAGAGUUGUAACAUCCUGAUUUCCAGGAAUGAUAUUUUAGGGAGUUUAUGUAAUUAAGAAAUCCUACUCGACGAGUUGUAGGCCCCAACUCGUUGUGUACAAACUAAUUAGGCCGCGUAGAUUAUGAAGCCUACUCGACGAGUUGGAGGACCCAACUCAACGAGUUGAAAGUUGGAUGUGAAAACCCUAAUGUUUAGGGUUUGAACCCUAUUUAAAGGACUUAACCCGCAUUCUUUGGGCUCCCUUAUCAUCUCAUUUCCAAGAGAAGGAAACUCUAGCCGUGCUUUACAACUUCCUUGUGUAUGUGAGCUUAGAAGGUCAUUUUUGUGCUCUUUUGAAAGGGUGUUGAAGUUUGAAGAGGUUCGAGUAAAGGGAUAAGUACUAGAUCUGAAAUCUACUUGGUUUUGGCAUCCAUUUACAGGUAAAAAGUCUUUACCUUGACCUCUUAUUUCUUGGAUCAUCCCUUAUGCAAGAGUAUGGUCAAUCCUAGUGCAAAAUGGAGUCACUCUCGAGUUUGAGCUUGUCAUGAGGACAUGGUUUCAGAUCUGGACUCCUCUAGACCCCAUGGACAUAAAGUUAUCGACUUUAUCUAGUCUUGGCCCUUUUCUAUUCCCUAAACCUCUUCUCAAGCUUAGUUUGGAGCCUUGCAUACAUGUAAAGUUGGCAACUUGACAUGGUAACUACACCCUAAGGGGUUAGAUCUAUAGUUUGGAGCCUUGGUUUCUCUUAAAAGUGUCUGAAUGAGAAAAGGGCUUAAGGAACUCGACGAGUUGGCUAAGGGUUUUCCCGCUUUUUGGAUUCUGAGUGAUUCGGAGAGUUGGUGAGAUAAAUCAUUGUAACAUCCUGGAAAUUCAGAAAUAUAGGUGAAGGGCUAAAAAGUGUAAAUAAGAAGGUCGACUCGGCGAGUCGAGUCGCGUUCGGGACACGUGUUAAGUAACCAACUCGUCGAGUCGCAUGGGUGGAAUCAGCGAGUUGGUGCUGUAUGGAGAAAACCCUAAUUUUCGGGGGUUGUGCCCUAUAUAAAGAACAUAACAUCCUUUCUUUAGCCUCCUUACCACCCUUGAGAGCUUACAAACCCUAGAAAUCGAGUGGAACUCCAUUGAUAGUGAAAUUGGAGCUUUGGGAAAGGAAACCUUGAAAAGGGAACUUGAAGGAUAAGGGAUUUAAGCAAGGGAGUGGUACAGAUCCGAAGUCUACUUCAGUGAGAGCUUGCAUUUGAGGUAAUAAGCUGUUCUUGAGCUUUUGUGCAUCUAGAUCUAUCAAUUGUGGGGUUUUGGGGGAAUAAAUGAGGACCAUCUCGAGUUUGGUGUAAGAUCUGAGGUUGCUACCUCAGAUCUAGGUUGUUAAUGACCCAAAAAGCCUUAAAGUCUAUGCCCAAGAGUUGUUGGUAAGGUUCUUUUGUCCCAAACCUUAGCUCAAGAGUGUUUUUGGCUUAGAUCUCUUUGGAUUCACGUAAAGUUUGCUACUUUACGUUGUGGGUGGGUUGUAGAAGGGUAGAUCUAUGGAUUGGAGCCCCUGCAUGGCUUAGAAAGCCACUGUUUGGGUUAAGAACUAGAGGUACUCGGCGAGUCAUAUGGGUAUACUCGGCGAGUAGGAUGAAGAUAGGCAGGGACUCGACAAGUUGGAAGAACAACUCGACGAGUAUGUUGAAUGUUGUCUUGGACUCGGCGAGUCUGUUCUUGGACUCGACGAGUCGGGUCAUGAAGUCCUAAUCUUCUCUGGUUAAGCUGUGAAUCGGUGAGUCAAGGGAUGACUCAGUGGGUUGAGUACGGUUCGAAUCAGAUUUGUGGGACUCGGCGAGUCUUGCGGCGACUCGACGUGUUGAGUCGUGUUAUGGGAGUUUCAGAGCAUGGGAACUCGACGAGUCAGCGGGUUGACUCGGCGAGUAGAGUCAGUCAGGAGGGUUGAAUUUGAAUGAGAACUUUGACUUUGACCAAGAGUUGACCAGUUGACUUCCAGGGGUAUUUUGGUUGUUGUUGGUAUUUAUUUGGUUUCGGUGAUUCAAUGGUGGAGUUCGUGAUGCUGGUCGGAGCAGCGUGAUCUUGAUUCUUCAGUCGGCAGUAGCAGGUGAGUCUUCUCACUAUACGUUACCUAGAGUGGUAUUAUGCGAUGACCAGAGGGUCUUAUGUGUUAUGUAUGAGAUUAUGUGCUAUGUGUUAUAUGUAUGUGGUAUGAUGUUAUAGACCAGACCGGAGGGUCCAACGAUACAGACCGGGCCGGAGGGUCCAACGAGCUAUGAUCGGGCCGGAGGGUCCAACGAGCUACGGGACUGGAGGGUCCCGCUGAGACACAUCGACCAAGGGGUCGUAUUAUAGCCUUGAGUGGCGUAUGUGUUGCAUGCGGUAUUUUGGGGAACUCACUAAGCUUCGUGCUUACAGUGUUUUGUGGUAUGUGUUUUAGGUUUCUUAGGUUCACGGGACGGCACCGGCUCGAUUGUACACACCAUAGAAAGAGUCAUGUUUUGAGGAUCCUGGUUUAUUAUGCAAGUGAAAAUGGAGUUAUGUUUUGUAAUUCGAUCAUGAAUGAGAUUUUAAGCAAAGUCUUUUUAAGAAUUAAACGAUUAUUUUUAAAUGAAUUUUUUUUUGAAAUUUUCGGUGUUACAAUCGACGAUUUGGUUAAGUUUUUACCGAUCUUCUAGACACUACAUGGACUCAACGAGUUGUUUGGCAACUUGGUGAGUUAACCCGGGUUUUUAUGAUUUCUGAGUUCUGAAGGAACUUGACGAGUCAGUAAGUUGCACUCGACGAGUUGAGUCAACAUGGACUAUUGACCUUGACCGUUAACUUUGACUUUGACUACGGGUUGACCAAGUUUGACUUUUGAGGGUAUUUGGGUAAUUUGAGAUUUUGAUGGAAUUAGUCAUAAGGUGGUUAUAGGCGGUUGAUUUCGAAGAUGUGAUUGGGAGUUGGAUAUUGUCACUACAACACCACUUGUGAGGUAAGUUCGCCACAUUAUUCUCAAGGGUCUAAGGCACCAAGGUCGGCCCUUUGGAUUGUUAUCUUGGUUAUCUUAUGGUUGUGUGCUAUCAUGAUCUUUUAGAUCGGUAUCCUGGUAGAUAAGAUGAUGUUAUGCUUAGUGAUCUGCUAGAUCUGUUUGACUUUUUGUAGACUGUUAUGUGCUUACCUGAUAUACGUGUGAUGGGUUUUUAGCACUACAUCAAUCCUAUGGUGUACAUGAAAACCCUAAAACUUGGGAUCUAGUUUCUCUAAUGAACAUGCAAUAAUCAUCCAAAGUUCAUAAACCCUAGAUCUAGCAUACAAUAAUCGAAUUAACAUAUGAAUUAGGGUUUAGAUCUUACCUUAAUUGUUAUGUAGCAAUAACAAUCACAAAUCUCGUUGAUCUUGACUCUUGAAAUCUUAGUGCCUCAAAUGUUGCACCUCUAAUGGAAUCACAAACACCAUGAGCAACAAGAUGACUUAAGAGAAGGAGGAGGAGCACCAAAAACGUCGAACAACCCUUUGUAGCACCUGGUUCUUGGUACGUAUUCUUUUAUUAAUUCUUUAAAAUGUUUUGCAUUUUGGCCUUGGACUCGGCGAGUUGAAGGACCGACUCACCAAGUAGAAGGGGGAUGAGACACGGGGUUUAAGCAAUGGACUCAACGAGUCGGGUCCUGGACUCGGCGAGUAGGCCCUGUCUGGACAAAAACCCUAACCUGAGGGUUUGCACCCUAUUUAAACACCUUAACUCGGCCUCCUUCGUCCCAUUUGCUCCCAGAAGACCCCCAUAGCAAACCCUAGCCGUUAUUGAAGCAAUCUAAGGCAUUUGGAGUGAUUUUGGUGCUUUUUUGAUCCAAGGAAGGAAGGAAAAGCUCGAAGGAUCAAGAGGAGGCUAGAAGGAUCCGAUUUUGAGCAUCAUUUGCAGUCUACAGAAGGUAUAAUGUCUAUACCUUGUUUGUUCUUUUGAUAUAUCCGACUUUGUGGAGUUCUAGGGCUUUUCUAAGCCAUUUUAGUCACCAACCAUGAUUGCAAGCAUGGUUGGGGGUUGAUGUUUCAGAUCUAGGUCCUUAGAGGGGUUGCAAGGCAAAAAGGAGUGGCUCGCCCCCCCAANGGAGUGGCUUUUACACUCAAAGAAGGCCCCAUGCAUUGUAAGAGCUUGUUUUAGGACCUUUUGAGCUCAAAGUCCCAUGCAAGCACGUAAAUGUUGUAACUUUACGUGCUAGAUCGAUUGUAGAAGCAUAUAUCUAUCUUUUGAUCAAGGGUUGUACAUCAGAAAUCGAAUAUUUAGUGAGAGGAUGUGACUGACUCGACGAGUCCAUUCUUGGACUCGGUGAGUCCAAGGUUUCUGUCCCAUAUCAGCUGAGGGUCAAAAGGACCCAGUUGAGUGUGGAAAGGUUUUAGAGGGUCCCGGGGAGUGACCCAACGUUCCAGACUAAGACAUUAUUCUGGAAUUCAUGGGACUCGGCAAGUGCAUGAGUAGACUCGGCGAGUCCAAGGCAAUCUUCUUAAGGAUGAAGACGAACUCGACGAAUUGUUCAUACAACUCGGCGAGUCAAGGACAAUACCUGAGUAUCAGUUGAAGUUGAACUCGACGAGUUGUUCAUACAACUCGGCGAGUCAGAUGAAGAUUCAGUUGACGUUCAAUUAGAAGGAAAACUCGUCGAGUUAUCGCCUAACUCGACGAGUAGAGACGGGUAUGAGGACAAAUGGAAGGAUUGGGACUCGGUGAGUUGGCGAGCCAACUCGGCGAGUUAGGUCAACUGGAAGUCGACUUUGAAUUUGACUUGGUGAGGGGUAUAAUGGUCAUUUUACCCUAAGAACAAUUAGCAGUGUAUGACUAAGUGUUUUGUGGGAAUUAUAGCCGGAGGAUUUCCAGAGCAGCAGUCAGAGGAUUCCCACAUAUAUCAGCAACUACUACGAGGUGAGUUACCUUCCACUAGGGGUGGGUCUUAGGCCACAAUGCCGACCCACCAAAAAGGAGUAUUUAGAAGAUAAUGGUCUUUGUGAUAAUUAUAUUGGUCUGGUUAUGUGUUGGUUAUGAGAUUUAUCUGGAUGAUAUGUUAUGUGUAUAGUAGGGAUUAGUUUCCCUAACAGUGGUCCGUAGGACCCAUGGGUAGGUCAGUACCCGAAUAUGCCUGACUGUAUGUUUAUAUCUAUAGAUUGUAUGCUAGUGGUAGGGGGGGAAAUAGUCCCUAGAUACCGUUUGAAAGAUACCUAUGUUGGGUUGAAAGAUACCGUUGACAGAUACCGGUUGAAAGAUACCGAUGUUGGUUACCGGUUGAAAGAUACCAAUGUUUGUUACCAGUUGAAAGAUACUGAUGAAGGUUACCAUUUGAAAUAUACCGGCGAUAUUGUAUGGUAUGUGGUAUGAUGGGGGAACUCAGUAAGCAUUUUGCUUACAAUUUUGGUUUUGGUUUCAGGUACCUCUUCGUCGAAAGGGAAGGAGUCGGCGGUGUAGCAGUGCAUCACAUACACAUGGUUUUCCGCAAGGAGUUUUUGGGACUGAACUCUAAUUUUUAUUACUUUUGAAGUUAUGUUUUGGGACACAACAAUAUGAUUUUGUGACGUGUUGUUUAUUCGACAAUAUCUUUGUAAAAAUGUUUAUGUAAUUGUCAAUUUAAAAAUGAAAUUUUCGGGCUUGAAAUUUGGGACGUUACACCCUUUGGGAUUACUUCCACAUGUUUUUGUUGCCUCAGGAGUUCCUUAUAUAGUUAUGCUAUUAGGGUUAUCAAACAAGGAAACCCUAAUUUGACUGCUUAAGCUCCAAGAAGCCCAUGGACUCCCUCCUUAGAAGCCUUGGACUAAUUCUGAUGGGUCUCCCCAUAGAUUUCGUCCACUCCAACUUCUAUGGAGUCAAUUAGCCCAUAUAUGCAACUAUCUUAUAAUUACAAUAUCACUCACCUUUAUUUAAUUAAGCUCUUUUAGCCACAAAAUUAAUUCUUAAUUAAUUCGUGACUAAUAUUAAUUUAACAAUAUGAUUUCUCUUUGAAUAUAUUAUUCAUAUAAUAUAUUAAUAAAUCAUAAUUAAUCCUUUUUCUCCUUAGUUCAUCAUAUCAGUUGCUAUGGUGAUGGAGACUCAAAAGGACCAUGCUCUAUCGGGUCAAGUACAUACCAAAAUAGUUAUGGGCUUAGACACAUAAUCCAAUAGUGUCCCACUUGGAUAAGUCUAAUAACUAUAUUGCAUAUGACUUUAGAACCUGAUCAACAAUCGUAGCUUUCAAAAGCCGUUGUCAAACUCUGAUCUUAUCAGAAACGUGUCCUUUAGAUAAGGAAUCAUAUAUUCUUCCAUCCUAGAUAUCGUGUGAGCUGAGACAUGGAUUUUAAUCAUACUCUCUUUUCAUGUGCUGUUUCCGGAUUAUCGAUUUAUGACGACUAAAAACAGACUACAAUUGAACACAUCAACUCAGUCCUGGCUUGGCCAAGCGCUUAGGGUUUCGUCACUAAAUCAUCAAGGGGUCCACAUAUAUCACUUUUAUCCCACUUUGGGUAAAAGGAAUGGAUAAACUUUGACUCAACGCUCGCUUGUACCUACUCAUCAAAUCACACACAACAACAUGUUUUAUAACACCAAAUUACUGGUGCGUUUACUUAUUAUAAAUGUGCAAACGACUUGCAUAAUACAACUCACACAUCUCGGUUUCAAGAAUAUAAUAAAUUAUCGUCUCACUAAUCAACCAUGAUAAAAUCCCUGAAGUGAUUCAAGCGAGCGUGGGUUUAAUCCAAUGCUCAAAUCAUAUUCAUAAGAACUCAUGAACGUUGCAGUAAACCUUUGCUAUGUCUAAUACACUUUAGACAAUCUACAAGCCAAUUCGUGACAGUCUUCCUUCAUACCUACUUCUAAAGCAUGAGCGACUGUGGAUGGUUUGAAUAAUCUUAUUAUUCAGGAAGUCAAAACAUGCAAAGUGAAACAAAAUAAUAAUGGAACCCAAUAUGUCCCCAAACUAUUGAGUAUAAAUAAAACUCCUUUUACUUGUCACCAUAUUGAUUACACAUUAUUCAUUAUAUAAUGUUUCAGAUAAUCAACUUAUUACUUGAAUUAUAACAAUAGUUGUCCCAUGCACCAAGCAUGCAAACUUUGUUUACUUACGGUCCAUUCUUUGUGAAAUAGAUAAAUUGAAAACAUUUCCAAUGAUGCUCAUUUCACAAUAUCCCUAAUCCUUAUCGUUAGUGUAAGAACAAAAUUCUCGCAACUACUAGAAUAUGUUAGAUUCUAACAUUUUAUGCAAUGAUCCCUUUUGUAAUCUUAUUGCACAAAGGUCACCAAGACUUUGCCAAUGACAUUACAAAGAUCUCUAUUGGAGAUUUUUACAAGACAAUUCCAUAGAUGUGAAGUCUCACAUUCAAAGUACAUUCCUUUGAACAUCCUUCUUGCAUAAAAGUUUCUAAUCUAGACAUAAAUUCUUAACGCCCAACUCCCAAUAUGGUAACAUUUCCAUAUUUUCCAUAUGACAACCUAUUGUGAAUAGAGUCUUAUCUAUGCAUAAUAAUGUCGAUAUGGUCCAUUCAUUACUAUACUUCCAACUGCUCACAAGCGACCAAUCCUUAGCGAACCUUAGAUUGUCGUUGACAGUUGUUCAAUUAUUUUAGUCAAACCGGUUCUAGUCCCUUUUCCCUUUGAACGCCCUAGGAAUUUGAAAAUUUUAGAAGGGUCGAAUAUUACAACAUAUGCAAUCGAUGCUAUACCCAAAGCGUAUGGGACACGAUUCAUAAUAAAAAAAAUGUGAUACUUUAGCACUUCCUUGGACCCUUUUAAGUUGAAUCUUUUCAACAUAACAUCUAUCUAUGUCCUUUGACUAAAUUUGAUUAAAAUUUCUCGAUCCAAGCUUUUAGAUUUUGAAACGAAGUAUAAUAUUCUCUCCCUUAAUUAUAGCAAAACAACUUUUCAACCCCUACAACUUUGCAAAGUGAAACUUUUGUUUUCUAUAAUUAAUAUUGCUAACAUGCAGCACUUAAAAUAAUAAUCAUGCUCCCAUUAACAUGAUAAUCUAAUCCAUACCAACAUAACAUGUAUACUCCCACUAGCUUUGACACUUAUUUAGAAAACAUUUGGACUUCUAGAAAGCAAUACUUAUUGACUUCCAUAGUUCAUAUUUCUAAUAUGAUAUGCUUCGAUAAGCCUUUAUAUAAGCUUCUAAACCUUAUACACCUUUCCUUAGAUAGAUUAUAUGUGUGUCUAACCAAUUUCAGCACUUAUAGGAAGAAGUCUUAAAUCUUUAAAUUAGUUUCCAAAUCUCACAAUUCGAACUAUGAAGAGGGAUGUCGUAAUCAUAAUCGAAUUUGAGAAUGCAUUUUACACAACAACUAACUCCCACUACAAGAAAAAUAGCCUUUUACGACGUGCAAACCACGACACUCGGUGAUUUAUGUUACGCAAAGGAGAGUGACAUUAAAAGAGUGUCGUCUAUUCAAAAAAUUUAAGGAUUUAGGUCACGCAUUAUUGCGUGCCCUUAAAUAGUGUCUCAUGUAAAAAAAUUAAAAACACGGAGGGCACUCGUGCGUCCUCUGUGAAUGUCGUUUUAUAUUUUUUUAAGAAACGCGCGUCUCUAAGAGGGAAAAUGAAAUCCCCAAAAUUUUUAAAUACCCGCCUUCUUCUCCUACAUUCAUUUCCAUAUGACUCCCAUAUCUACCCUACAUCGUCUCCACCUCUCACCCACAUCCACUGCCUCACAAAAUUUUCACAAGCUAACGAUUCCAUAGCCUACUAGCGAUUGAGGGUUAUUUUCACAUCUGCUCUACUUCCCAUCUUCCAUCUACUUCUGCCCUAGAUCCGACGAUUGAAGAUUACAAAUAUGUGUAGGGUUUUAUUUUAUUUUAAGCUUCCAGUUCUCCUGUUUCCGUGGUGAUCGACCGGUGGUGAAACGAUUCAGCGCCAAAAAAAGAAGCGGCUCUCCAUUCUCUUCUCGAAUGAGAUUUCUAAGGAUUUACAUCGGUAUCUCAAACGACUUCAACUCUUUUCACAGAUUUCUUCCCAUCUGAUUUUAUGAUUUCAGAUUUCUUAUUGGCGACUCAUUUCCUCUCCCAUCGAGUUCGAAAUUUUCACUCAAGGAAGUAAUGGCAGCGGAAGAUGAUGAAGGGCCUUCAAUGGUGCUUUGUUUAUUACACUAUGGUAGCGGAGAUGACGGUGUUGUUGAUAGCCCUAAACAAUAGUCAUCUUAAAAGAAAUUAUCAAAGAGAAAGGUACGUAUCAGUUCUAGAGUUCUUAUAUAAAAUUAGGUCAGCUGUACCCUUCUUAUAUAAAAUUAAUGAAAUCGAUUUUAAAAGCAAGCCAUAAUAUUGAUUUUGAAAUCGAGCCCCAGAUUUCGGAAUAUAGCCCUGCCUGUUACCAUUAAAAUUUACCCCUGCUUCUGAUUUUUUAGCUUCCUGGUCAGGCCGACUCAUAGAACUAUUCCCCACAAACCCUUUGACUUCCGAAACAUCACCCCCAUCCUUGUUCUUUCCCAUAACCUUGUUACUUUUCCAACUUUGCCCCUGUUCAAUCUUUGAAUCAUUAGACUUUCCUUUCAUUGGCUGAAUAUUCCCAUAAUACCCCUGCCCAUUUUUACCUCCUGUCUUCCCACCUCUAUCAAAACUAAAUUCCAAAUUUUCCUGAUUAUUCCCAUUAUACCCUUGAUAGCGAAUUCCAGCAGAAGCCCCAGAAUUUCCAAUUUUCGGAUAAUUCCCUUUUUGCCCCUGCUUGCGGUUUCCAGCAAAAACCCCUGAACCUUCAUUUUUCGAGAAAUUCCCUUGAUGCCCCUGACUCGAAAACUGUUUUUCCCCCNNNNNNNNNNNNNNNNNNNNNNNNNNNNNNNNNNNNNNNNNNNNNNNNNNNNNNNNNNNNNNNNNNNNNNNNNNNNNNNNNNNNNNNNNNNNNNNNNNNNNNNNNNNNNNNNNNNNNNNNNNNNNNNNNNNNNNNNNNNNNNNNNNNNNNNNNNNNNNNNNNNNNNNNNNNNNNNNNNNNNNNNNNNNNNNNNNNNNNNNNNNNNNNNNNNNNNNNNNNNNNNNNNNNNNNNNNNNNNNNNNNNNNNNNNNNNNNNNNNNNNNNNNNNNNNNNNNNNNNNNNNNNNNNNNNNNNNNNNNNNNNNNNNNNNNNNNNNNNNNNNNNNNNNNNNNNNNNNNNNNNNNNNNNNNNNNNNNNNNNNNNNNNNNNNNNNNNNNNNNNNNNNNNNNNNNNNNNNNNNNNNNNNNNNNNNNNNNNNNNNNNNNNNNNNNNNNNNNNNNNNNNNNNNNNNNNNNNNNNNNNNNNNNNNNNNNNNNNNNNNNNNNNNNNNNNNNNNNNNNNNNNNNNNNNNNNNNNNNNNNNNNNNNNNNNNNNNNNNNNNNNNNNNNNNNNNNNNNNNNNNNNNNNNNNNNNNNNNNNNNNNNNNNNNNNNNNNNNNNNNNNNNNNNNNNNNNNNNNNNNNNNNNNNNNNNNNNNNNNNNNNNNNNNNNNNNNNNNNNNNNNNNNNNNNNNNNNNNNNNNNNNNNNNNNNNNNNNNNNNNNNNNNNNNNNNNNNNNNNNNNNNNNNNNNNNNNNNNNNNNNNNNNNNNNNNNNNNNNNNNNNNNNNNNNNNNNNNNNNNNNNNNNNNNNNNNNNNNNNNNNNNNNNNNNNNNNNNNNNNNNNNNNNNNNNNNNNNNNNNNNNNNNNNNNNNNNNNNNNNNNNNNNNNNNNNNNNNNNNNNNNNNNNNNNNNNNNNNNNNNNNNNNNNNNNNNNNNNNNNNNNNNNNNNNNNNNNNNNNNNNNNNNNNNNNNNNNNNNNNNNNNNNNNNNNNNNNNNNNNNNNNNNNNNNNNNNNNNNNNNNNNNNNNNNNNNNNNNNNNNNNNNNNNNNNNNNNNNNNNNNNNNNNNNNNNNNNNNNNNNNNNNNNNNNNNNNNNNNNNNNNNNNNNNNNNNNNNNNNNNNNNNNNNNNNNNNNNNNNNNNNNNNNNNNNNNNNNNNNNNNNNNNNNNNNNNNNNNNNNNNNNNNNNNNNNNNNNNNNNNNNNNNNNNNNNNNNNNNNNNNNNNNNNNNNNNNNNNNNNNNNNNNNNNNNNNNNNNNNNNNNNNNNNNNNNNNNNNNNNNNNNNNNNNNNNNNNNNNNNNNNNNNNNNNNNNNNNNNNNNNNNNNNNNNNNNNNNNNNNNNNNNNNNNNNNNNNNNNNNNNNNNNNNNNNNNNNNNNNNNNNNNNNNNNNNNNNNNNNNNNNNNNNNNNNNNNNNNNNNNNNNNNNNNNNNNNNNNNNNNNNNNNNNNNNNNNNNNNNNNNNNNNNNNNNNNNNNNNNNNNNNNNNNNNNNNNNNNNNNNNNNNNNNNNNNNNNNNNNNNNNNNNNNNNNNNNNNNNNNNNNNNNNNNNNNNNNNNNNNNNNNNNNNNNNNNNNNNNNNNNNNNNNNNNNNNNNNNNNNNNNNNNNNNNNNNNNNNNNNNNNNNNNNNNNNNNNNNNNNNNNNNNNNNNNNNNNNNNNNNNNNNNNNNNNNNNNNNNNNNNNNNNNNNNNNNNNNNNNNNNNNNNNNNNNNNNNNNNNNNNNNNNNNNNNNNNNNNNNNNNNNNNNNNNNNNNNNNNNNNNNNNNNNNNNNNNNNNNNNNNNNNNNNNNNNNNNNNNNNNNNNNNNNNNNNNNNNNNNNNNNNNNNNNNNNNNNNNNNNNNNNNNNNNNNNNNNNNNNNNNNNNNNNNNNNNNNNNNNNNNNNNNNNNNNNNNNNNNNNNNNNNNNNNNNNNNNNNNNNNNNNNNNNNNNNNNNNNNNNNNNNNNNNNNNNNNNNNNNNNNNNNNNNNNNNNNNNNNNNNNNNNNNNNNNNNNNNNNNNNNNNNNNNNNNNNNNNNNNNNNNNNNNNNNNNNNNNNNNNNNNNNNNNNNNNNNNNNNNNNNNNNNNNNNNNNNNNNNNNNNNNNNNNNNNNNNNNNNNNNNNNNNNNNNNNNNNNNNNNNNNNNNNNNNNNNNNNNNNNNNNNNNNNNNNNNNNNNNNNNNNNNNNNNNNNNNNNNNNNNNNNNNNNNNNNNNNNNNNNNNNNNNNNNNNNNNNNNNNNNNNNNNNNNNNNNNNNNNNNNNNNNNNNNNNNNNNNNNNNNNNNNNNNNNNNNNNNNNNNNNNNNNNNNNNNNNNNNNNNNNNNNNNNNNNNNNNNNNNNNNNNNNNNNNNNNNNNNNNNNNNNNNNNNNNNNNNNNNNNNNNNNNNNNNNNNNNNNNNNNNNNNNNNNNNNNNNNNNNNNNNNNNNNNNNNNNNNNNNNNNNNNNNNNNNNNNNNNNNNNNNNNNNNNNNNNNNNNNNNNNNNNNNNNNNNNNNNNNNNNNNNNNNNNNNNNNNNNNNNNNNNNNNNNNNNNNNNNNNNNNNNNNNNNNNNNNNNNNNNNNNNNNNNNNNNNNNNNNNNNNNNNNNNNNNNNNNNNNNNNNNNNNNNNNNNNNNNNNNNNNNNNNNNNNNNNNNNNNNNNNNNNNNNNNNNNNNNNNNNNNNNNNNNNNNNNNNNNNNNNNNNNNNNNNNNNNNNNNNNNNNNNNNNNNNNNNNNNNNNNNNNNNNNNNNNNNNNNNNNNNNNNNNNNNNNNNNNNNNNNNNNNNNNNNNNNNNNNNNNNNNNNNNNNNNNNNNNNNNNNNNNNNNNNNNNNNNNNNNNNNNNNNNNNNNNNNNNNNNNNNNNNNNNNNNNNNNNNNNNNNNNNNNNNNNNNNNNNNNNNNNNNNNNNNNNNNNNNNNNNNNNNNNNNNNNNNNNNNNNNNNNNNNNNNNNNNNNNNNNNNNNNNNNNNNNNNNNNNNNNNNNNNNNNNNNNNNNNNNNNNNNNNNNNNNNNNNNNNNNNNNNNNNNNNNNNNNNNNNNNNNNNNNNNNNNNNNNNNNNNNNNNNNNNNNNNNNNNNNNNNNNNNNNNNNNNNNNNNNNNNNNNNNNNNNNNNNNNNNNNNNNNNNNNNNNNNNNNNNNNNNNNNNNNNNNNNNNNNNNNNNNNNNNNNNNNNNNNNNNNNNNNNNNNNNNNNNNNNNNNNNNNNNNNNNNNNNNNNNNNNNNNNNNNNNNNNNNNNNNNNNNNNNNNNNNNNNNNNNNNNNNNNNNNNNNNNNNNNNNNNNNNNNNNNNNNNNNNNNNNNNNNNNNNNNNNNNNNNNNNNNNNNNNNNNNNNNNNNNNNNNNNNNNNNNNNNNNNNNNNNNNNNNNNNNNNNNNNNNNNNNNNNNNNNNNNNNNNNNNNNNNNNNNNNNNNNNNNNNNNNNNNNNNNNNNNNNNNNNNNNNNNNNNNNNNNNNNNNNNNNNNNNNNNNNNNNNNNNNNNNNNNNNNNNNNNNNNNNNNNNNNNNNNNNNNNNNNNNNNNNNNNNNNNNNNNNNNNNNNNNNNNNNNNNNNNNNNNNNNNNNNNNNNNNNNNNNNNNNNNNNNNNNNNNNNNNNUUUUUUUUUCCUUUCUUUUAUGGGUAAACUACAGGAAAUAACCUCCUACUUUAUUACUCUGUAUAGGAUGUAUAUGUAACAAUUCUUUACACAUGAUAUCAAACAGGAAAAUGAGGUAGCUAACUAAACUAACUACUUCAAUUUUCAUAUACUUCAAUAAAAAAUUAAAAUAUAUUAUGUUUGUUAAUGAUUUUGUAUUGCAGGUACCUUUUCAACACUUUGCUGAGAAAAUUGGUGGCUAUCUUUUGAAUAGGAGGAGUUAGUAGGUAUUUAGACAUGCAUACCAAAGAUAACAUUUUGUACAGAGAGUUCUUGGCACACAGGAAGCUAGAUAAUGCAAUUGUAUAUAAAUGAGUUCAUUUUUUUAUAACAUUUACUCACUACUGGAAUAGUUAUUUGUAUUUGACAUAUUAGUGAAAUGAAUUAUCUUUGUUAUUUAUGGUAUUUUAUUUUGUAUUAUGAGAUUUUUAAUGUAUUAUUUAAUUUGAAAAUUAGAAAAAUCUAUAAAUAAUAUUUUUUUUAAACAUUUAAAAUUAUGAUACGCAAAAAUGUGUGUCAUCUUCAUUUAUGACAUGGCCUUUCUUGACAGUGGCUUUCUUGACAGGGCCUUCCUUGAUACGCAUGUGAAUGCGUAUCGUCUUCCUUUAUGACAGGGCCUUCCUUGAUACGCAUUGCGUGUCGUAAACACGCGUCGUAAAUGCGCGUCGUAAAUGAGCGUCGUAAAUGCGUGUCGUCUAUAGACGACGCGCAAAAGCGCGUUGUCUUUCUUUAUGACAGGGCCUUCCUUGACGCGCAUUUGCGCGUCGUCUGAGCCUUUUACGACGUGCAAUGAGCGUCGUAAAAGGCUGUUUUUCUUGUAGUGUCCUUAAAAUCUUCCUAGUGAAAGCGUUUCCUCACAAUCAUUUUCAUGAAGGAUAGAAACCUUAUGACACUUAGAUUUUAUGGUGUAUGUGUUCUUGUCCAUGUGAAUUUGUAAUAACAAUAAUCAUAAGAUAAUGUUUGCAACAUAAUCUUAUGGACAGAACUUGUUCAUUCUUGAUUUCUUGCCGUCAAGGGUCCUACAAUUGCUUCCAAGUUAUUUAGCAGCUCACCUAUACUAGUCAAUGUACUUUCAUUGAACAAGGUGCCUGCCUUUAUACAGUUUAUUGAGAGCUCGUAGAACUCAUAUGCAUAAGUAACUUUACUGGAAUGACACAAAAACAAGAAUAUGUCAACACGAUAGGUUACAAACCUCAAGUCAUGUGCUAGUGUUUAACUAGGUUUAUUCUUGAUUUGUUCUUGAAACCUUUUCAAGAUCAAAUAGACUCCCACUAACCUCUUAACAUAUAAGAUAAUCUUCUUAGCCAUACUAGUGCACUAAGGUGUCUUUAGAGGAUCAAUUGUGAUAUGGUUUCAUAAUCAGCAAGACUAUCAGAAAACAUGAUACUAAAGUACUCUUCUAUCUUUUCAGAUUGGAGAAACUUUUAUCUUUCUGCCUAUUUGAUUCUUCUCAUUCGUUCUGUAAUUCACUGAAACUUUUCAAUGAUUCAGAAUUACACUUAAUAUUGUAAGCAUAAGCACAUUUACUAGACUUUUAGUAAGUCAUGACGAAUAAUCUUAUUGUUUUUGUGGUAGACUUGACUAGUGCACAACAUUGUGUACCAGUUCUCCUAGUCCUUCUCUUGACUAUUUGUCAAGGAAUAAGUCUUAAUUUUCCAAAUAUGAAGGUUCUCAUUCAUCAUACAAUACAAGUUGUAUGAUUCCAUUUUUUUGUCCAAUUCAUACUCAGGCAUCAAGAAUCUUUCCUUAUUUGGUAAAUUCUCGACAUUACCAUAAAUAAUAUAACUAAGAAUCACAUCCAUUUCAACAUUACAGAAAUAAACAUCAAUUUUCAUACAUGCCAUUGAAAGGAAAUAUAAAUAAGACAAAAAACCAAAAAAAAAUUUAUUUAUAAAAAGUGCGGAAAACCUUGUCCUUACAAUGCAAUUCAAAUGAAAACUAUGCUAUUACAUAUUCCUAUGCAAUCUAUCAUAACUCUACGUGGCAUUUCAAAAAUCCGAUCAUCAAAUCGUGCGAUCGAAAUCCAUAUCUUCGCGAUCAGACUCAACACGCGUCUUGCUUAAAGCUUCCUUUCUUUUCUUCAAUCCUACAAAACACUAAAUGUAAUCUUAUCACCUGAAGUAGAGUCAUACAUCUUGACUCUCCCAUCUCUUAGAUCUCUCAGGUAGUCAGGGCAGCUUCGUAACCAAUGCCCCCUCUUUUGGCAGUAGAAACAUAUGGAUUCUUCUGGAAUGGUACAUAGGACAAUCUCAGACUCAACCUUUCUUUCGCGUAGAGAAAACUUUUUUGGACUUUCAAUGUUGCCAUUUCCCAUAGAAGGUUCGGAUAUUGAUUUACCAGACAAAUUUGCUCGACCAGUGCGCCAAAUAGUACUCUCUAACGAAAUUAACAUAUGAAUCGGGAAGUGAGUGAAGAACCAAGUCAACACCCAACUUCUUUGAGACAUCGACGACCAACAUUCCCAAUCUAUCAAUAUGCAACUUCAUAUCCAAGACGUGAGCGCAUACCGACUUUCCAUCUUCAUGUCUUUUCGCCUAUAGGGCUUAAGUGGUCUUGAACUUUUCAAGUCUUCGAACACGUAGGUCAGGGAGAAUUAUUGGAGGAGGUGGAGGAAGUGAAGAGUGAUUUCCAUUUCCACAAUCCAAUCGUGAAACAUCAUCUUCAAGUGGAAAAAAUUUUCCAACGGAUUCAAGAAGACCAUAGUUGUAAGACUUUGACACCUACAAAAUGGGAUAAAAUUCAAGUAAGUUGAUUGAGUCCAUAAUAAAAACACCCAAAUGAGAUAUUAAGGCUAGGACCUAACACAAUAUUCAAAAAUUUGGAAGAGGGAUGUCGUAAUCCAAACUACAUAACAUUUCAAGGUAGGUAAAUGACAAUUUACGAAUUUCCGUCAUGAAAAGAGAAAAUUGAAAAUAAAGUUCUAAAUGAAUUGAAACUCCUAGAUAUUUUGAGAUUCAUUGAACUUUUCAAUGUCAAGUUUAAAUCUCGAGUGUGUCCUUCUUUUGUGACCAGGAUGCCGAGGAUCACAAACAAGUUGUGGAUAACGAUGCAAAUAUACAUGGUGCCCUCAAUGUUACAGUCUCCUAAUCGAUGUGCCAGUUAACCACACACGCUCCACUAACGUCUUAGCAAUGGUACAAAGUGUAAUUUCAUGGAAUAGCACCAACUCCACAUUUUUUCCUAAAGUAACUAAGAUUUGGAAAUUUAUAAAGUGUUUUGUUACUUCGUAUUCAUUGUACUUAUAAUGAAAGGUUGUGUCCUAUCCUCCCCGUUCGGCUAACAACCCUCCACUAGUCAAGAGUGCGGCGGGUAAGAGUGGAUANNNNNNNNNNNNNNNNNNNNNNNNNNNNNNNNNNNNNNNNNNNNNNCCCCUUAUAGCUAGUUUCGUGAAUGAGGCCUACUAACGGUAAGACUGACAUUUUACUUAUACAUAUAUAAUAUUAGACUUUUAAUUUUAUAUAUAGUGUAAGGGUGUAAUUUACACUUUUAAAAUACUAGGUGGUUUAAUUUAAUAAAUUUUAAAUUUUAAUUUAAUUAAAUAUAAACCAUAUCAUUAUGGAUUUAUUAACUCUCUUUUAAUUAUACACUUAAUUAAUUUAAUAAAACCAUGAGGGUGUAAUUUGAACUUUUCAAAAACCAGGGUUUUAGAAUUUAGCAUUUAAAAAUUUGAACUUUUAAUCAAAAAUUUAAAUUCCAAAACUUGAGGGCAAGUUUUGAAACUUUUCAAAACCAAAUAGAUCAAAUUACAAAUAUUUCCAAUUAAUCAAAUAAUCAGUGAUUAUCUAAAUUUGACCUAAUUCUAUUUCAAUGCAAGAUAAUGCACAUCAAAUAAUACAAAUAAUUAAAGUUUAUCAUAUAAGGCAAUAAAUAUCUUAUUAAAUGAUAAUUAUCUUCAAUUUGGGUUAGGAUAAUCAUACCUAAACAAUAAAAAUCAGAUUUUAUUAAUAAAAAACGUUGAUCGUAAUUAUCCCACAAACAAAUCAUUAAAAAUCCCAAAAUUUCCUCUGUCUGACCCUGCACUCGCCGAGUCAGGCUGACUUGCCGAGUUCAUCCACUGACUUUCCAAAUCAGUCAGGCAGACGACAAAAAAUUAGAUUUUCAGGCCAAGUAUGAUCAUAUAAGGAUCAAAUACAUCAAACAAACAGCCUAGGCUCUGAUACCACUGAUGGGUUUUGAGCACUACAUCAAUCCUAUGGUGUACAUGCAAACCCUAACGUCUUUGAUCUAGUUUGUCUAAUGAACAUGUAAUAAUCAUCCAAAGCUCAUAAACCCUAGAUCUAGCAUACAAUAAUCAAAUUAACAUAUGAAUUAGGGUUUAGAUCUUACCUUGAUUGUUAUGUAGCAAUAACUAUCACAAAUCUCCUUGAUCUUGACUCUUGAAAGCUUAGUGCCUCAAAUGUUGCACCUCUAAUGGAAUCACAAACACCACGAGCAACAAGAUGACUUAGGAGAAGGAGGAGGAGCACCAAAAAUGUCUAAGAACCCUUAGGGAUUACUUACACACGUUUUUGGGGCCUCAUGGGCUCCUUAUAUGAUUAGGCUAUUAGGGUUAUCAAACAGCGAAACCCUAAUUUGACUGCUUAAGCUCCAAGCAGCCCAUGGACUCCCUGUUUAGAAGCCUUAGACAAAUUCUAAUGGGUUUCCCCAUAGAUUUCGUCCACUCCAACUUUUAUGGAGUCCAUUAGCCCAUUUUAUGCAACUAUCUUAUAAUUACAAUAUUAGUCCCCUUUAUUUAAUUAAUCUCUUUUAGCCGCGAAAUUAAUUCUUAAUUAAUUUUUGACUAAUAUUAAUUAAACAAUAUGAUUUCUCUUUUAAUAUAUUAUUCAUAUAAUAUAUUAAUAAAUCAUAAUUAAUCAUUUUUUCCUUAGUUCAUCCUAUCAGUUGCUAUGGUGAAGGAAACCCAAAAGGACCAUGCUCUAUCGAGUCAAGUACAUAUGAAAAUAGUUAUGGACUUAGACACCAAAUCCAUCAAUGUGUACAUGUUUAAUUGGUAGUUGAGGGUAUUCCAUCCUGAGGAUGAUUGGACCCCUAGUAUGUUGUCUCUGUAGACUGUUAUGUGACUAUCUAAUGGAUGUGCACAUGUUUGAUUGUUAGCUGAGAGUAUUCCAUCCCGAGGAUGAUUGGACUAAUAGUAUGUGGGCAUUCCAACUCGAUGGUUGUGGGCCAAGAGUAUUCCAUCUCGAGGAUGAUUGUACUCAUAGUAUGUUUUCAUUCCAACCCGAUGGUUGAGGGUCGGGGGUAUUCGAACCUGAUGGUUGAUUGGACCUAUAGUAUGUUGGCAUUCCAACUCGACAGCUUAGGGUCGGUGGUAUUCCAACCAAAUGGUUGACUGGACCCAUAGUAUGUUUUCAUUCCAACCCAACGGUUGAGGGCCUGUGGUAUCCUAACUUGAUGGUUGAUUGGAACCAUAGUAUGUUGGCAUUCCAACCCGAUGGUUGAUUGGACCCAUAGUAUGUUGUUUGUUAUUAUAUGUGUAUCGAGCUUACAUUUAUAGAUUAUUGUUUCAGGUACUUCAGAACAUCGGUGUAACGCCCCGAUUCUCGAAUACCAAUUUGUGGUUAUAAAUUCUCAUUUAUUCAAGGUCUACUCAACGAGUUGGUUGCCUGACUCGUUGAGUAGUAGCAGGUUUGGGCCACAUGUUUAAGUGACCAACUCGUCGAGUCGGAAGAGUGACUCGACGAGUUAGAACUAGAGGCUAAAACAUUAAUUUCCGGGGUUUGGCACCCUAUUUAAGGGACCAUUAGCCUCCUUUAGUUCCUUUGCAGCCUCUUGAUAGUCCAGAUACCCUAGUUCGUGUGAGUGUGCUCCAUUUGUGUGUUUUAAAGCUUUGGAAGGUGUACCCUUGUGAGAAGAACUUGAAGAGCAAGUGACUAGGAGCAAAGAACUUGUGGGGAUCUGAUAUCUACCUCAGAUGGCAUAUCUUGUAAGUUAUCAAGUCGUUACCUUGACCUCAUUUCAUUCUAGAUCUCAUUGGUUAAAGUUUUUGGGUUUAUCUAGCAUAUUGUGAAACUAUUUUUGGGUAUGAGCUCAAAUCUGAAGUUCUAACUUCAGAUCUGAACUCUCCUUGGUCUCUAAAUCGAUAAAGCUAUCAGCUUUGGCAAGCAUGAACCCCUCCUUAAGUGUAAAACCCCAUUUCAAGCUUGGUUUUGGCAUUUUGAGUCAAUAGAGCCUUGCAUGCACAUAAAGUUUGCAACUUUACGUGAUAAUCAUGCCUUGGGAAGUUGGAUCUGUAGUAUCGAGCCUUAGCAUGGCUUAAAAAGCAUCUAUAUGGAUGAAGGACUGAAAGGACUCGGCGAGUCGCAUGGUAGACUCGGCGAGUCAUAUGAAGAUGGUCAUGAACUCGACGGGUUAGAUUAACAACUCGGCGAGACCGAAGAAGAUUGCCUUGGGCUCGGCGAGUGGCAUGGUGACUCGGCGAGUUGGCAAGUUAUGCAAGGACCUCGGCGAGUAGCUGAAGGUACUCGACGAGUUGAGGUCAACAUGGACUGUUGACCUAGAUAGUUGACUUUGACUUUGACCAAGGGUUGAUCGUUUUGACUUUUGAGGAUAAUUGGUAAGCGGGUUCUUAUUAAUUGGUUCUUUGAAGGUUAUAGGUGUUGGAGUUUGGGGCAGUAUUUCGGGAGCAUGAUUUCGUUGUUCAGUCCGGCAUUGCAAUGUGAGUUAUCCUUACUGUACUCAAGGGUCUAAGGCACCAAGGCCGACCCUUUGUUUGUUACUGGGAUUAUUACUGUUGUGAUAUGUUAGUUCAGUAUCCUAGUAGAUGGGAUGGUUAUAUACUAGUAUGAUCUGUUAGAUCGGUAUCUUGGUAGAUCGGAGGUGGUUAUGCUUAGUGACCCAUAGUUGGUCCGACUGUCUACAUGCUAGUUGUUAUGCCAGUUGGGUAGAACUAUAGGACUACCUGUAGUAUUAUGUGAUUAUCUGUAUAUGCAUUAGUUGUGUUAUAUGUCGACAUAUUAUGUGGGAUGGGUUGAGGUGAAACUGCUCCAUGCGGUAACCAACAAACCCAGGAGCAUUCCAAAUAUGAGCUGAGGGAGACUCGUACUGUGGGCUCGAUGGCAAUCCAGAUGUGAGUUGUGGGCUCGGAAGGCAAUCCAGACUCACACUGUGGGCCGAAGGGUAAUCCAGUCUGUAAAGUUGUAGACCCAAUACAUGUUGUUAGUUUUAUAUGCGUUAUGUGAAGUGUAUCGGUAUGUUGGCAUUCCAACCUAAUGGUUGAGGGCCUGGAUGAUUGGACCCAUAGUAUGUUGUUGUUAUUGUAUGUGUAUUGUGGUAUAUAUGGGUAUUUUGGGGGUAACUCACUAAGCUUUCGGGCUUACAGUUUCAGUUUAUUGCUUUAGGUUCAACGGAUGGCUGUAGGUAGGUGAAGGCAUGACCGUACACUUCCUCGAUUGAUGAUUGUGAUUUCUGGGAACUCUAAUGUUGACACUAUUUUGAAAACAAAUUGUAAUAAUUGAAUGGUUUUGAAUGAUUUAAAAAGUUUUAAAUCGGCUCAAGUUUUGUGGGGGUUACAUCUUGGUAUCAGAGCCUUGGUUUGAGUGAAUUAGAGGAACACUCGUGUGAAUCCAGUCUCAAAUCAAGGAAAGAUUUUCAAAAUGAUUUUAAAUGGUUUUCAAAAAAAGUAAAAGAGGAUGUGAAGUGUACGAUCAGCCGGAGGCAGUAAGUAGACCCCAUAAUACCAUACGGUUAUUUGAUAUUGUGAUAUGUUAGAACAACAUGCUAGUACUAGGCUAGGGAUCUUCAUAAAGUGCAUGAUAGAAUUGCCUAAGUGUACGAUGCCUGUUAGCCUAGGGUUUUCCUUAUAUGAGAUUGACAUCAUUACUGUUGUUACUUGUGUAUGCAUCAUAGCUGUAUAUAAUUAAGAUCUAAUAGCCUGAGAAUGUUUGAUCUAGCCUUAUGUUAUGUUCUUAUUGAUUAGAGCUUAGGGUAGGAUUGGAUAUUCAAAAGUCUAUAGGGUCCAACGUUAUGUUUGGCUAGUAUACACUAGUACUGCAGGAGUUGGUGGAAGUUUCAUGGAUGGGUGGGUAGUGAGGGGCCGGGAGGCCAGUUAUGAUAUAUUUAGCAUUACUCUAGGAGUGAGGAUUUAUCGCUCGAUAUGUAUAUGUGUAUUGUAGGGUGUUGUGGUGAUACUUGAGACAAAUAUGGGUAGGUGUGGAAGGAAGUAUGGGCCCGUACUACUAAAAGCACAGGACCCAUACGCGUAUCAAGGAAGUCACAACCCCUAGGAUUUUAGUUGGAGUCGUUGCCCUGUUAUGCUAUUGAUUAUUUGAGACGUCUUGAGAACGGAUCCAGGUUAGGAUCGGGAGCGGGCAGCCAAGAUAUGCAAACAUCUUCAGGGGGAUCGUGUUAGUGAGAUCAUUCGGGAGUAGGUGAUCAAUAUUAUCUGAGGGCAGUUUCCAGAGAUUUCGGGUCUAUUAAGACAACCAUGGUUGAGUAUAUCGACGAACUCUAUCCAUCCAUUGCCGAGACGGUUGUCGCGACAGUUUUAAUAGCUGUAACAACGACAUGGAGAGGAGCUGGUCGAGCCUUCCAGUAUCGGGACUUGUUAUUGGUGCAUAUUCUGAUGAGCAGAGGGCUGCAGUUAUCUGGGAUCAGGAAGAUAAUCGGUACUCGUUAUAUUUCUGCGGGUUGAGCGGGAGAGGAUAGCAUGUGGGUUUCUAGAUUUAAGGCUCGUGGGUUUUGCUUGAGGUCGGAAUAUGCGUCACAGGGACACCGGAAUGGAGUGAUGUCUAUGACCAACUAGUGUUUUUGCAGCUGGAAAUGGAAUGGUUAAUUGAUCGAUUGGAUUGUCGUUUUGUAGCGAAAGGAUUGUGCCCUCUCAGUUUUUCGAGCUCGAAAGAGUGAGCAGGCUUGUGACCAGGGGCAAGUUGUCUUAUAGCUUAGGGUCAGUUGGUUAUAGAGGUUAGCAACAUUAUUUCAGCGCCGAUGAGCGCAGGUGGGUCGAUGUGGCAUAAGUAAGUGUGGAGUAUGGUUUGCCUUGGAUCUCUUUCAUCAGACGGUAAGAUUUUAUCGUGCGAUCUAUUACACUUUUGGGAAUGUAGAUUAUGUCGUGGGAGUAGUUAUCGACCGGUUUAGGGGAGAGGUUGUUUCAGCUGCUGUAGUUCAGCUGUGGAUGUUUGAGCUGGUAAGUGAGUUAGGGUGCGAACCAUGGAGAGAAUGAUUCAAGAGCCCGAGAGCAGGAAGUUUAUUGGAAAACCUUUGAAAAGUGGUAUUAUGUGGGAUUGAUUUUUGUGUGUGUGUGUGUUUUGGUUCAGUAACCGGUGAGGUGUCUAAUGUUGGGGUUGUGGGCAGACAAGUUAGGACCAAGGAGGUUUCGACUUCGCUUGAAAAACACCAUAUGGUAGUAGGAAGAGUUAAUUGGGUUUAUGACUUGGGAUUGAUGUGUGGUAGUAGUUUUGUAUCGUUAUGUUGUUAGUUGAUGAGAGGAGCGUCGAUUAGGCCCUUCGAGUGGCGUAGGAAAGUGGAUAUAUGCAGGGUCAGAGUGUUGGGCAACCGAAGUAACGACAGUAGUGUCGAUCGGUCAUCGGGAGCAUUCCAGUCAUGAGCUGAAGGCCAAGGAGGGCAUACCAGACUCAUGCUGUGGGCACAGAGGCAGUCCAGACCUAUGUUGAGGACCACGUAAGGGUAUUCCAGUGAUAGGCUGUGGGCAUAGAGAUUGUGUUGGUUAUGACUGUUGUAGGAGCGCGUUCGAGUUGGAUGUAUUGUUGAAGAUUCGGGGGAGUUGCACUAGGUUGUGACGAGUCCGAGGAUGGUGGAUGAGACGCAAGGAUAGAUCCUUGGAUAUCCGGUUAUGAGUAGACCCAAAUUAUGUUCGUGGAGAUUUUCCAAUCUAGGGUAUUGCAUCCUGAAGAUGACUGGACCAUAUGAUGGACUGGAUUUGAUAUGUAUGGUAUUCCAACCUGGGGGUUGAUUGGGUUAAACAUGUGAGGGAUACGAGGAUAUUCCCUCCUAAGGAUGAUUGGAGUCGUCGUAGGCGCGCCUGGUAUUCCAGCAUAAGGCUGUUUCGGCCAGGCAGGAGUGUUCGUAUUCAUUAGUGGAUCAAUUAUGUAUGAUAUUCUGAGAACCGAGGGAUGCAUUAUCAUGUCAGCGAAGAGGGUUCGCUCCAGGAAAAAGGGAAAGUUGGUUUCUGAUACUUUAGACCAUCAGAAUGUUGUCAAGUUGGCAAGGUAGCAUGAAGAAUAGACCUUAUGAAAAGGUUCGAUUGGGAUUCACAUCACCUUUCACUAUUCGCACUUGCGAAUGUGCGUCAUGGAUCAGGAGGCGGUAGUAUCGUUGGAUGACAUUCAGGUCAGUGAGCACCUGGAUUUCGUGGAGAGGCAUGUGGCCAUUUUGGAGAGAAGGGUGAAGGUUUUGCGGGACAAGGAGGUACCUUUGGUGAGCGUAUAGUGGAAGUACCAAAACGGGUCCAAGUGGGCGUGGGAGCCGGAGGCAGAGUGCGAGAACACGAACCGAGGAUGUUCACCGCAACAGACUUCAAGGACGACAUCUAGUUCAAGUGAGGGAGAAUAUUAAUGCCCCGGUUCUCGAAUACCAAUUUAUGGUUAUAAAUUCUCAUGAAUUCAAGGUCUACUUGACGAGUUGGUUGCCUGAAUCAUCGACUAGCAGUGGGUCUACGCCACAUGUUUAAAUGACCAACUUGCCGAGUCGGAAAAGUGACUCAACGAGUUGGAACUGCAGGGUGAAACCCUAAUUUCCGGGGUUUGGCACCCUAUUUAAGGGACCAUUAGCUUCCCUUAGUUCCUUUGCAGCCUCUUGAGAGUCCAGAAACCCAAGUUCGUGUGAGUGUGCUCCAUUUGUGUGUUUUAAAGAGUUGGAAGGUGUACAUUUGUAAGAAGAACUUGAAGCGCAAGUGACUAGGAGCAAAGGACUUGUGGGGAUCUGAUACCUACCUCAGAUGGCAUCUCUUGGAAGGUAUCAAUUCGUUACCUUGACCUCAUUUCAUUCUAGAUCUCAUUGAUUAAAAUUUUUGGGUUUUUCUAGCAUAUUGUGAAGCUAUUUUUGGGUUUGAGCUCAAAUCUGAAGUUGUAACUUUAGAUCUGAACUCUCCAUGGUCUCUAAAUCUAUAAAGCUAUCAGCUUUAGCAAGCAUGAACCCCUCCUUAUGUGUAAAACCCCAUUUCAAGCUUGGUUUUGGCAUUUUGAGUCAAUAGAUCCUUGCAUGCAAAUAAGUUUGCAACUUUACAUGAUAAGCAUGCCUUGGGAAGUUGGAUCUGUAGUAUGGAGCCUUAGCAUGCCUUAAAAAGCAUCUGUAUGGAUGAAGGACUGAAGGGAAUCGACAAGUCGCAUGGUAGACUCGGCGAGUCAUAUGAAGAUGGUGAUGAACUCGACGGGUUGGAUGAACAACUCGGCGAGACCGACGAAGAUUGCCUUGGGCUCGGCGAGUGGCAUGGUGACACGACGAGUUGGCAGGUUAUGCUAGGAACUCAGCGAGUAGCUGAAGGUACUUGACGAGUUGAGGUCAACAUGGAUUGUUGACCUUGAUAGUUGACUUUGACUUUGACCAAGGGUUGACCGUUUUGACUUUUGAGGAUAACUAGUAAGCGGGUAUUUAUGAAUUGGAUCUUUGAUGGUUAUAGGUGUUGGAGUUUGGGGCAGUAUUUCGGGAGCGUGAUUUUGUGGUUCAGUCCGACAUUGCAAUGUUAGUUGUCCUCAUUGUACUCAAGGGUCUAAGGCACCAAGGCCGACCCUUUGUUUGUUACUAGGAUUAUUACUAUUCUGAUAUGUUAUUUCAGUAACCUAGUAGAUGGGAUGGUUAUAUGCUAGUAUGAUCUGUUAGAUCGGUAUCCUGGUAGAUCGGAGGUGGUUAUGCUUAGUGACCCAUAGUUGGUCCGACUGUCUACAUGCUAGUUGUUAUGCCAGUUGGGUAGAACUGUAGGACUACCUGUAGUAUUAUUUGAUUAUCUGUAUAUGCAUUAGUUGUGUUAUAUGUCGACAUAUUAUGUGGGAUGGGGUGAGGUGAAACUGCUCCGUUCGGUAAGCAACAAACCCAGGAGCAUUCCAGAUACGAGCUGAGGGAGACUCGUGCUGUGGGCUCGAUUGCAAUCCAGAUGUGAGCUAUGGGCUCGAAAGGCAAUCCAGACUCACACUGUGGGCCCAAGGGUAAUCCAGUUUGUAAGGUUGUGGACCCAGUACAUGCUGUUAGUUGUAUAUGCGUUAUGUGAAGUGUAUCGGUAUGUUGGCAUUCCAACCUAAUGGUUGAGGGCUUGGGGUAUUCCAUCCCAAUGGAUGAUUGGACCCAUAGUAUGUUGUUGUUAUUGUAUGUGUAUUGUGGUAUGUAUGGGUAUUUUGGGGGUAACUCACUAAGCUUUCGGGCUUACAGUUUCAGUUUAUCGUUUUAGGUUCAACGUAUGGCCGCGGGUAGGCAAAGGCGUGACUGUACACUUCCUCGAUUGAUGAUUAUCAUUUUUGGGAACUCUGAUGUUUACAAUAUUUUGAAAAAAAAAUUGUAAUAAUUGAAUGAUUUUGAAUGAUUUAAAAAGUUUUAAAUCGGCUCGAAUUUUUUGGGGGUUAGAAUCGCAGGAAAGAGUAGGUGUGACCGUACACAUCCUCACAUGUUACGAUUUGGAUUUCUGGGAUACUCUGAUGUUUAGAAUAUUUUGAAAACAAUUUUUUAUUACAUAGCGGUUUUUAGAUGUUUGAAAAUGUUGAAAUUUUUGUGAAUUUUUAUGGAUGUUACAAUACUUUUAUAUGUAUUCAGUUUUACACUUUUUAAAUAUUUCUUUCACUAAUCAUUUUUUUGCAGAAAUAUUUUGAUAUUUAUAGAUUUUGCAACAAACUUUAUUGGGAAGACAUUUGAUUAGGUGUCAAUGAUGAUUGUUGAAGAGCGUAUAAAGAACGCAAAUAAUAUGUGAAAGUACAUUUCAACGUGGUCGAUGGAUAUGGGGACGUAGAAACUGCAAUAAGACAUCCACUGAGGGGUAUGAACGACAACAGUUGGAAUCAAAUCAUUGAUGAGUUAUUUUUAACCCAUGCUUAUGUGCGUUUGUCGGCAAAAAAUAUAAAUAAUGGGUCGCUACUUCCGCAUUGAUAGGUCGUUAUAUAGUGGUUUAGGCUAGGCAUAUGUCUUGUAAUUGGUCUUGUUAGGGUCUUGGUGUUAGUUGUGGUUGUUGUAACUGUUGUAUGGCUGUCUGCGGCCAUACACGUGUGUGCGGCCGUACACCCUGUGUGUGGCUGUGCACCCGUGUGCUGCUGGGGUGAUAUAAAUAGUAGGUGUCUGUGUCAGUGUCAGGUGACGUAUGUCCGUAUCUCCCAAGGUGUAUUUGACGUUUAUGUGAUAUAAAUGUGUGCAUGCUUGGCUUAAUUAGUCUUCUACUCACUUCUACACUCUGAAUUGUUUGCAAUAUCAUUUGAUCACUGAUUCAAAUCGUAAAUUUUGGGUCUAACAAUUGGUAUAAGAGCAGGAUCAUUGUCAAUUUGGAUUUUUGUCAGUGUACGGUUGAGCUACGUUGAAGGUGUACGGUUGAAGGAGUACGGUUGAACGUGUACGGUUGAGCGUGUAUGGUUGGGUGUAUGGUUGGGUGUAUGGUUGGAGUGUGUACGGUUUGGUGUAUGGUUGGAACGUGUACGAUUGUGUGUACAGCUAAGUAUGCGGCUAUGUGUGUACGGUUGGAGCGUGUAUGGAUUAGUGUGCAGUUGUGAGCAUGUACGGUUGAGUGUGCGGUCACAAACUCCUUAGCAUAUUGAGCAUCCUAAUUGUAAGCAUUUUUCUUGUUAAAGUUUUCGAUCUGUUUAUUUCUAAAAAGCAAGAAAGAAUGGACUCCCACAUCUCAUCAGGUCAUCAUGAAUUGGACACCACAAUGGGAACCACCACUCGAAUUCCUUGGUUGUUAUCCGCCGAAGGAUUUCUAGAAUGGAAGUACCGAAUUGAGAAAUACAUCAAAAUGAAAGAUUUUAAGGUUUGGCGAAGCAUUCUCAAAGGACCAGUCAGAGUCACUACUAAUCUUUCGAAUGGACAAGUGAUUGACAAAUUGUAUGCUGAUUACACGGAUGAGGAUUUCAAAAUGGUUGAAGAACAGGAAAGGGAACUGGCUACUUGACUAUGGCUUUAUCCCUCGAUAUUGCUCAAGGAUUCAGAGAAUACACUUCAGCCAAAGCUCUGUGGGAAGCUUUGAUUGAGGUCUACGAGGGAAAUGAAGAUAUGAAAGAGAGCCGUCAGGACAUGUUAAGACAGAAGUUCAAUAUGUUCAAUUAUGUCCCUGGAGAAACCUUGGAAGCUCAAUUGCAGCAAUUUACUGCACUCACUAUUGAGAUGAGCAUAGCUGAGAUUUACUUUACUAGAUCUGAGAUAAACAAAAAUUUUUUGAAUUCACUUCCGAAGUCAUGGGAUAUGAAUGUGGCUGUCAUCAAGAAAACAAAAGAUCUCAAUCGUCUCAGUCUUGCUGGAACAAUGGCAAUCAUCAAAUCCUGUGAUCUUGAUGAUAAACAACGAGAGAUUAAUCAUGUGAAUUCCUACUCGACUGGAAAUUUUGGGAUUUCUUCGAAUAAUGCCUUUUCAUGUUUCACCUCCUCUCCAAGUCAAGCUUUUGCUGUUCAACAACCUCAGAAUCAAACCUUUAUCACUCCAUCAGUUACACCAUUUGUUGGUUCUUCAUCUAUGUCUCACCCCACAAAGUUAGUCCUUCGUUGUUCCACAAGUUCUUUCCUCCUCCAAUGCACCAUUUAUGGUCCCUGCUCCCAAUUCCAAAGAAAACGAUGAAAACUUAGCUCUUGCCACUGGACUUGUCAAUUGUUACAAUGCUUUUAUAGCUAGAGAGCUUCCACCUCAACUCACUUUUGAUAAUCUAAAUCAAAUUCAUGCAGAGGAUGUGGAAGAAAUGAAUAUUACCUUGCAGAUAGCAAUGGCAGUGUUCAGGGCAAAGCAAUUUGCUAAGAAGACGGGAAAGAAUAAUUUGGGAAUGAAUGCGGAUAAGAAGGUAGGGUUUAACAAGGGAAAUCUGUGUUGCUACAAUUGUCACGAGCCGGGUCAUUUUGCUCAUGAGUGUCCUAAACAAGACAGAAGGGUCAAUAGUGAUCGAACAAUGGUUCCAUAGGGAAAUAGUCGUGGAAAUGUUGCUGUCAACGGUGAGACUGCAAAUCUAGCAGUGGUUGCUCAGUCUUUUGACUGGGAGAACCAGAUUCAGGCACUAAAUAUUUCAGGACCUAAAAAUGCUCACCUGGCUCAAAUCAAUGAUACUCCUAUGGAAGAAGCUGAACUUGAUCCUAAAGAAGAGUUGAUGGAGUUGCAGUUUGCCUUUAUGGUAUCUUCUACUUCCGAACCUGAAAAGAAAGAGGUAAGUAGUCUUCUUGUUCUCAAACAUGCAUUGAUAAAGUUAAAAAUCUUCUUGAGCAUAUUAUGAAGAGAGAACGAGGACUUAAAAUAUGAAAGUUAUCAACUUAGGAAAGGACAAAAACCCAUGAAGGCUGAAUUAGAAGCAAAAACCAAAGAUUUUAGAAAACUUCAGGCAGAAUAUUGCAAUAAGAGUGCGUGUUAUAGAUAUGUAACUUAAAAACUUGCUGAGGCAACUGCAAAGCUUGACACACUGAAAAAAAAAUUUGAAUAUGCAGAUUUUAAUUUCAGAAAAUAUGAUGUGUCAAGUGAAGUAGUUAAAUCCAUGAUAGAACAUAAUUUGAAAUUCAAAGAAAAUCAGCAAAAGGGUUUAGGAUACGACAAAGUGCCUCCUCCUUAUAAUCAUAAAUAUCAUUUUAAGCCAUUGACUGAAGAGGAGAUAAACUGAGAGCCAUUUCUUAAAUAAGGAUUUGUGUCAGGAGGUAGCAUUAAUGUUGAAAAUAUUAAUGUUUCUACUUCCGAUGUAGAUCAAUCCCUAAGUCAAUCAAAGCGAGAAGCUGAAGGAUGUGUUUCUAAAAAUGAAAAAGUUUCUGAAUUUGUUGCUGUUUCAAAUGGUAACUCUUUUGUUUCUGAUGUUAAAAUUAUUGAUACAUCUUGUGAUACUCCUACUUCGGUUAAUGUUGAUUUAAAUUUCUUUGACAUAUUUGAUGUUCUUGUUCCAAGCAUAUCCACACCACCAAUCACACAACCAGAUUCAUCCUCACCUAUCACUCAAUCUGAUUCUUGCACAUGUUCUUGUGCAGAAAGUAAGGGUGUCAGUAAAGAAAGCAAAUCAGACAAAGUCAGUACCAGUUACAAUAAUAAUAAGCAUAUUUGUUUUAACUGUGGUACUGUCAAUCACAUUGCUUGAAAUUGAUCAAAUAGAUCAUUUGUGCAUUUUUCGUCUCAAAGAGGAGAGAAUGAAUCUCGAGGAAGGUCUUUAACUAGAAAGUCCUCGAGAUCUCGUCCUCGAAAUGAUGAUUGGAAGGCUUUCAAAACAAGAAAAGGGCAGUUUUUCAAAAGAACAAACAGGUUUUCAACAACAAAGUCACAAACAGUUUUCCAAAAUAAAUCAAGGCUAAGCCAAGAUCAGUUUCGCCAAAGAGUGGAUUUGGAUCUUCAACCUCUUUUGGUAGAAAAUCUAACUUCUCAAAGCAAACUGAAAAGAAAAAUGUCUCAAAAUCACCCGUGAUUUUUAAGAAACCUAAAUACCAGUAGGUGCCCAAAUCAACUUCCAACCAAUAAUCAUCAUCCUCUGAGAGUGCUUUGAACAACGAUUCAAAAUCAAAAAGUUCAAAAGAUAAGUCUUUGAUCGUAAAAGGUCAACCCAGGAAAGCUAUGACCUGGGUUCCGAAAUCUAAAUGAUCCCGCUCAUUUGCAGGGACAGUUGCGGAGGAAUGUCGUCAGACAUUGGUAUGUCGACAGCGGCUGCUCCCGGCAUAUAACAGGAGACAUCUUCAAAUCGAACGACAUUCAAACCUUUAACAGGGGAUUUGUUUCCUUUGCGGGCGGAGAAGGCGGAAAAAAAUACACAAACAAGAACUGUGAUGAACGUAUUGCUGAGUUUUGAGAACGUCAACUAUGCUCCCGAGUUAAAGUAUAGCUUGUCAGUGUAUCUCAGAUUUGCGACAAGGGUUAUUCAACACACUUUACUGAUAAAGAGUGUUUGAUCUUAAAGGCUGGCAUUGUCAUCCCGGAUGAGUGGAUGGAUUAUUUUCAAAUCAAAGCGGGAUGGAAAUGCUUAUAUCAUUGACAUGAACAUCAACAUUCCUGAACAAGUCACCUGUCUCUUUUCUAAGGUCUCGGAACAAAAUGCUAUGUUGUGGCACCGACGACUUGGUCAUGCGAACGCUAAGAAUCUAAAUCGUCUUGCUAAACAUGAAAUGGUGUAUGGCCUGCCCGUCAGAGACUUUAUAACAUUCAAAAAGUGUGUGUCAUGUGCCAAGGGAAAGCAACAUAGAAAACCACACCUGCCAAAAAAGGUCAAUUCAAUCAACCAGGUGCUCCAAUUGUUACACAUCGAUCUAUUUGGUCCGUUCAAUGUCCUAAGCAUCAACAAGAAUUCAUACUCUCUUGUUGUGAUCGAUGACUUCUCGUGUUUCACAUGGGUUUUCUUCUUAUCCAACAAAGCUGGUGUAUCUGAUCUGAUCAAGAAGUUCAUCGUAAUGAUUGAGAACCAAACCAAUAAGUGGGUGAAGGCGCUUCGUACUGAUAAUGGAACAGAAUUCAAGAAUGCGGUUCUUGAUCAGUUAUGCGCAGAAAAGGGAAUUGUGUGUCAAUAUAGUUCCGAUCGCAUGCCUCAUCAAAACGGUGUUGUUGAACGGAGGAAUCAAACACUACAAGGCGCUGCGAGGACGAUGAUGUGUGACUCCAAACUACCUGUUUUCUUUUGGGCUGAGGCGAACAACACCGCUUGUUAUGUUCAGAAUUGUGUUUUGUUCAACAAAGCCCAAAUGAAGACUCCAUACGAAAUUCUAUAUGGUGACAAGCCAUCUGUCAGCCAUUUCCGCGUAUUUGGCUUCCCUUGUACCCUUCUUCACCUGGAGACCAACCCGAAGUUUAAUACCAAAGCUGAUGACUGCUAUUUUGUGGGGUAUGCUUCUCGCACUGCGUACCGAGUCUACAAAAAAAGAUCAAAGAAAAUUGUAGAAUCCUUCGAUGUCCGUUGGCUGGAGGAAAAUGAAACGGAUGCUGGAGUGGGUCCUGAUUGGCUGUUUGACUACACAUCAUUGUUCAAAUCGUUCAAUGUGUGUUCAGAUAGUUUAUAUGGUUCUACUUCCGGUUCGAAGAGUGUACUUGAAGAUGAAUACGAAGAAGUUGUUACAGUACGCCGAUAGUGUCUUCUGGAAUUUCUGCGGUGGAGUCAUUUGUUCCAAUUACCUGUCCAGAAUCUCCAAGUCAACAAAAUGCUCCAGAUACUGAUGCUACACCUCUAACUCAUGAUGAAAAAGAUUUCAUGUCCAAAGAUGCUUCCUCUAUUACUCAAACUUUUAUGGAACUUCUCUUUCCUAAGGAAAUUGCAAAUGAGUUUGUGGCGGAUCCUAGUAAUGAGACUGGUUCAUCUGAAGUGGAUCAUUCGGCAAAUGAUGGAGUUAUUAACAUUCAAUCAGCCAGGAGAUACCUUCACGCAUUCAAUGAAAUCAUCCGAUCGAUAAUGUCAUUGGCCAGCUGGGUGAUCGUGUUAGAACAAGAAGCCUGAGUGGAGAUGUUGAGAGAAAAACUUGAGACACACUUGAACAAACGUUAGAACAAGUAUAGUUGCGGAAUAGUGAAUAGUUAAUCUCAAAGGAUCUAAAAGCUCAACAAUAAUAAGUCAAUGAGUUAGAUAGUUAGAUAGUUAGUUGCGGAAAUGUAAGGAAGCAUAAAUGACAGCAGGUGAUAUAUCAUAUAAGCACAUAAGUUGAUUCAUAACAUGGAAUGCAUUCAAACCAAGUUAGUGAGUGAGAUCAAACUUAGUGAUAAAGUCACGAAUGACUUCCUCCGAAGAGAAGUAAUUAUCAGUUAGGUUCGAGAGGAUUUAGAGAGUAAGAAAGAGAUGAGAUGUGUAAGAGAAAUAUACCUGAAGAUAGUUAAGAUGGAUAGAUGUGACAGAUUGAUUAUAAACUGAGAACGAAUGAGCUCUACAUAUAGAGACUCAAGAAUUAGAUUUAAUCCACUCUCUAAGAGUAGCCAUGCAAGGCAUACUGGACAAUAGAGAGUAUUAUAGAAAAGAUAGAUAAUAUUAAACUAAGUAAACUAAGUAAGAUUGUGGUUGGAUAGAUGACUUCGGAUGAGGCUGCUGAUGAGGGCUUGACUGCGAAUCCUUGUGGGCUGCGUAGACUAAGUUAAGAGGGUCACUUCAUGUUUCAACAAUUUCCCCUUAAUCGACCUCUUUAAAUUUUAUUCAUCUAUCAAGUUUUAGGAACUUGAUUAAAAUCCACCAAAACUUUCUGAUAUUCUCUAACCAGGUGAUCCUUCUCAAAAUCUCGAACUUUACUUCGGCAGUCGUGUGUUUAGAUUUUUCUACUGCGGUUCGACAGAUUUCAAGUUGCUUCCUUGUAAGUCGAUUCAUGGAGGUCACCAGAAUGAAGUAUUUGAUCUGAUCGACCUUCCUUUUGAAGAUGACUCCAAGUUCAGGGAAGUUUGUUGCACUUAGGGAUCUUUCUUGAUAACCUUCGGUAGGCAUCAGUGCACGAUCUAGUGGUGGUAGAUCAAAUUUCUUGGCAAUUGAUGGGUGGAUGUCCACAUCAAUCUUUGCAAAAUCGCAGACGGUUUCCUUCAGAAAAAUACUUGCCCUUUCAAGUGCUAUCUUCAUAUUUGGAUAUUUUUUACACUUGUUUUCGAACACCUUUGCUAUCAGAAAGACUUCUUCUGGUUUCAUACAUGGGAAGUCAGCUUGGGUGCAGACAUAGUCCUGAUUUCUUCUUGUAAGGGUGUAUUGAAUGAAGUCAGCCUUCAUGAAUUUCCGAGGUUUAAAGUUCUUGACUAUUGAUGGUCUAUCGUUAGACCAGAUUUUCUUUAAGGAAGAAGCAUGUUUGGCAUGAAAGCGAUUGAAUCUCUCGAAUUCCAUAGGCAUUCUUUGGUGAUCCAGUAGGCUACGGUCCAAUUGCUCAAAUACAGUGAAGUAUUUAGUGUUUGGGGAGAUAUGGUUUGUAGUCAUCAUACAACAGUCUGCGGUGGGGAUUUAUCCAAGAGUUUAUCAAGGAUUCAUCCAUGACAGUGUUGAAACCGCAUUCUCUCCAUAUGAGUUCGGUGAACAUAGCUGCUUUCCAUUCAUAUUUCUUUUGUUUUGUGACGGGAGAGUCAUUUGAAUUUGGAGAUGACAUAUCAGGAGCUAAAUUUUUGAAGUGACGGGAGUCUCAGGUCGUUCCGGAGAAAUUCUUUGUUGAGAGGGAGAGGGAUAUUGCGGUGGUGUUUGGUGAAUAGAUGGUUGCGGUGAGGGAAGGUUUUCUGUUAUGAUGGGAGGGCUUCUAUGAGGAGAAGCAUUGUUUGAGUUAUGUUCUUCUUAAUGUUGUUCUAAUUCAUGAUGGUCUUCUUCACUUCCCCCUCUUGAGGAGUUUAGCCCUGGAGCCUCCUCAAGCAUUUGUUUGAAACCAUCGACCUUGGCACAGACCUUCUGGAAAUGAGCUUUGAGAACAUCAGCCAGUUGCUGAUUGUCAGGGCUGGUGGUGUUGAAGAGUAGUCGAAGAAUCUCCUUUGUCAGUUGGAGAAUUUUAUGACCAUGGAAAUUUGAAGAUAGGGAUCGUUGGAGUCUAUUCAUGGUUGCAUGAAGGACUGAGAUAGUGGACUCAUAAGCAAUGUGAGUCUCAGUUAUCAGUUUCUGGGAAAAUGAGGAUUGGCCCGCAAUGGUUGUUUGCAGAUUGUCUUUGAUUGCAGAUACCUCAGAGAUGAGGCGCUGCACAUCAGCCAUGAAUUCCUUGUGAUCUGCUUGGCGAUUGUUGUCGAGGGACCGAAUUCCCAUUUCUACUUUGAGAGAAAUUCUCUCAGCAUCUAGACGUUCCCUAGUCUCCAAUAUUUCAAUCCUUUCGAUCAAGGACUGAGGUACCAGAUAUUCUUAUGAUUGCGGUUGAGUUGACUUGACUGCGGUAAGAAUUUGAUCUACUUUGGAUUGUAGACUUAAGAACUCUUUUCUUGAAAUGACCAUCUUCUUCUUUUUAUUUUUCUCCUUGGGCUUAGAGGUUGAGUGUUGAGAACCACUCAAUUCCUCUUCUUCAUCAAACAUCAUGAGGUCAUCAUCCGAAGGACUGGGCUGAUUAACCUCAUUUAAAUCAACGUCAUCAAAACCGAAGGUGGGAGCAGAGUUGACUUCUAAUGUGGUACCUUCGUCAUCAAAAUUUUUACCAGUUGGAGUUGGAGGGGGCUUAGAAGGAGUUUGAUCAGCAGUUACAACUUGAGCGUUGCGAAUUAUGUCAGCCAUUCCAUCCAUCAAAGCUUGAACUUUGCAGAUUGUAGAUACGGUAUUGGCAUUAUUGAUGGCGUCUGCCCAAUACUUUGCUACAUACUAGAUUUCUUGUUGUUUCUGUUGAAGUUGCUUUGUUUGUCGUGCCUUUCUUGCUUGGAAUGCCCUACGGAAAGUGGCAUAUUUCUUGGCUUCGGCUUCAUUUGAUGGUUGAUAAUUUCUCCAUGAAUUAUUGAGGUCAAUUUCGUCAAUUCCUUGGUAUCGCACCAAGGUGUCCCUCGGGUUCACGGAUCCUUGAACAUUGGUGCUCACCGUGCCUAAACCACCUGUUACAGAUGUAAGCAGAGUAGGUUUUCCUGAGCUUCCUCGGUCUCCUUGACCUAACGUCAAGUCUGGCCUCGGCUUAGUUCUCGCAAAGGCUGAAGAAUCGCAUUGCGAUUGGGAAGGUGUUUGAAGUGUUUGGAUAACAGAAAAAAGUAUGGAGUUCAACUCCUCUAGGGAAAGGAAGUGUAGACCGGAAGCCCUGGAGACCUUAGGGCAGGAACCAGUUCCAUCCUCUUGGGAGUGAACCAGGGGUGAGUCUCCACGUUGUGGUGAAACAUACUCACUUUUUGAUUCUGAGUGGUAUUCGAUAAUGGCAUUGAAUGGGUGUGCGGUCACCCCAAGGACUACCGGAGCCUUUAGAGAGGCUGAGGUAUCAGUCCGGUAACACAUUUGGUNGAGAACAUCAGCCAGUUGCUGAUUGUCAGGGCUGGUGGUGUUGAAGAGUAGUCGAAGAAUCUCCUUUGUCAGUUGGAGAAUUUUAUGACCAUGGAAAUUUGAAGAUAGGGAUCGUUGGAGUCUAUUCAUGGUUGCAUGAAGGACUGAGAUAGUGGACUCAUAAGCAAUGUGAGUCUCAGUUAUCAGUUUCUGGGAAAAUGAGGAUUGGCCCGCAAUGGUUGUUUGCAGAUUGUCUUUGAUUGCAGAUACCUCAGAGAUGAGGCGCUGCACAUCAGCCAUGAAUUCCUUGUGAUCUGCUUGGCGAUUGUUGUCGAGGGACCGAAUUCCCAUUUCUACUUUGAGAGAAAUUCUCUCAGCAUCUAGACGUUCCCUAGUCUCCAAUAUUUCAAUCCUUUCGAUCAAGGACUGAGGUACCAGAUAUUCUUAUGAUUGCGGUUGAGUUGACUUGACUGCGGUAAGAAUUUGAUCUACUUUGGAUUGUAGACUUAAGAACUCUUUUCUUGAAAUGACCAUCUUCUUCUUUUUAUUUUUCUCCUUGGGCUUAGAGGUUGAGUGUUGAGAACCACUCAAUUCCUCUUCUUCAUCAAACAUCAUGAGGUCAUCAUCCGAAGGACUGGGCUGAUUAACCUCAUUUAAAUCAACGUCAUCAAAACCGAAGGUGGGAGCAGAGUUGACUUCUAAUGUGGUACCUUCGUCAUCAAAAUUUUUACCAGUUGGAGUUGGAGGGGGCUUAGAAGGAGUUUGAUCAGCAGUUACAACUUGAGCGUUGCGAAUUAUGUCAGCCAUUCCAUCCAUCAAAGCUUGAACUUUGCAGAUUGUAGAUACGGUAUUGGCAUUAUUGAUGGCGUCUGCCCAAUACUUUGCUACAUACUAGAUUUCUUGUUGUUUCUGUUGAAGUUGCUUUGUUUGUCGUGCCUUUCUUGCUUGGAAUGCCCUACGGAAAGUGGCAUAUUUCUUGGCUUCGGCUUCAUUUGAUGGUUGAUAAUUUCUCCAUGAAUUAUUGAGGUCAAUUUCGUCAAUUCCUUGGUAUCGCACCAAGGUGUCCCUCGGGUUCACGGAUCCUUGAACAUUGGUGCUCACCGUGCCUAAACCACCUGUUACAGAUGUAAGCAGAGUAGGUUUUCCUGAGCUUCCUCGGUCUCCUUGACCUAACGUCAAGUCUGGCCUCGGCUUAGUUCUCGCAAAGGCUGAAGAAUCGCAUUGCGAUUGGGAAGGUGUUUGAAGUGUUUGGAUAACAGAAAAAAGUAUGGAGUUCAACUCCUCUAGGGAAAGGAAGUGUAGACCGGAAGCCCUGGAGACCUUAGGGCAGGAACCAGUUCCAUCCUCUUGGGAGUGAACCAGGGGUGAGUCUCCACGUUGUGGUGAAACAUACUCACUUUUUGAUUCUGAGUGGUAUUCGAUAAUGGCAUUGAAUGGGUGUGCGGUCACCCCAAGGACUACCGGAGCCUUUAGAGAGGCUGAGGUAUCAGUCCGGUAACACAUUUGGUCUGUGGGACUGGUUUUUCUUUUCUUGAGGAUCAAAAUGGGUUGAUCGUCCUCAUCAGAAUCACUACUAGAGGGAGAUUGAUGUUUGCUUGGUUCGACAUUUGUUAGCACAUGUGGGGUGAUUUUCCUUUUCUUUUAAGGAUUGGCUUGUUUGGGAGCAUCCUUUUUCUUAGGAGUGCCUUGUUUAUUGGUGUUGCGGGGGCCUUGACGAGUUGAGGCUAAUUGCUUGCGUCUUUGUGAUAAAGAUAGGUUGGAUAAGGUGGUGGAGGAUGGGACUGCGGUACUACAAGGGGCAAUGAUUGCGAAUGGGGUUUGUAGAGGCGGGGUAGGAAGGGUUGGGCCAAUACCUUCCAUAGCCUAAAUAUUGUCUGAGACAUCAGCAGUUUCAAGAUUAAGAGUAGAGAGAAUGUGGACUGGUAGUCUUCUAAUGGGUCCAAAAAACAGAUUGAUCAGAUGAGGGGUUGUACCUUUUGAGGUCUUUGGUUACAAAAAGAUUUAUGUCGCUGCCCAUGCUAAGUCCUGCAUCCGCAUGGAGAUCUAAGAUGCAUAGAGACCAGAACCUUGCAAACGUGAGUUCGGUAGGGUUCUCUCUUGGGCUUUCCUUUGGAAUAUAUUGUAAGAAGUCGUCCCAUAGUAUCUGACCAUAGUUGAUGUCAUGGACAGUGAAGAUACUCCACACUAACUCUAGGAGCUUGAGUCCCAUAUUAUUCGUGCCUCCGGUUUUUCCGUACAGAGUGCGGAUCAUAAAGUGGCAAACAAAUUGCCAAACCACAGGCAAGUGAUUUUUCUUGAAUUCUCUAAUUACUUUGAUCUUCUUUUGAUAACCCAUCUGGUAAAGUUCAGAAAGGAUGUCCACCAUGCUUGGAGUGAAAUCCUUGAUUAAAGGAUGAACAAGGAGGUUGAUGGAAGUGAGAAACUUUUCUUUAUUCAUAAUGACCAAAGAAUCGUUAACUAGGUUUAAAUGAAUUUCUUGAGGAUUCUCGAGUGAUCGAUAUGCUGAGAAGACUUAAUUGAAUAGGGUUGAAAAAGGAACAACAUCUAUGAACGAAUCAAACGGUCCAAACAGCGGGUGUUGGACAUAAACUUGAUCAUCAACUUGGUAGGAGAAUUAUAGAAGGAAUGCUCUUCAAACACAGCCCUAAAAUUGCUUGAAGCAAUCGUUGGCGUUGGGUGUCUUGAGGCAGAGUCUGAACCAGUAGGGUUUGCUGAUCCGAAUGCCUUGGAGUGUUUCUUGGAGAUGUCUGAUUUCACCAUUGUAGGAAGUUUGAAGACACUUUGAAAGAGAAAAAACAGAGUGCAAGCAAAAGGUUUGAAGUUAAGAAAGCGUAAAAUUUUCUUGAGGAAAAAGAAGGGCAUUUUAUAGUGGCUUAUUGGAGCAGGAAACGAUUUUACCCUACGUGAAUUUGGGUAAAAUGUUUGGGUGUUUUUUGUAGAUUAAGAGAGAUAAUCUCAACCACAGAUUAAGAAAAGGUUUUAAUCUACAUUUUUAGAUUUACCAAAAGGGGUUAGCAUUUAAUGAAACGUCAGACUUCAAUACCACAUCUGAAGAACGUGCGGUGAGGGAGGGUGUAAUAUGUUGGUUAAAAGGGAAGUUGUAACGGAUUAGACAUUUUGGGGUAAUAGGAAGAGACAGAUUAAAAGGAUUUGAUUUUAGGAAAUCUCUCUUUUUGUCAUCAUACCUAAAAUAGGUCUGACAAAAGAUUUAUUCAAAAAGAAUGGGACAGUUACACAAAGAAUGUUUUUUUAAUGUUUUCCCUAUUUAAUGAAGGAUCAUUAAAUAACACACCAUGUUUUUUUUUAAAUGUAACAGGUUGAAAAUAAAUUAUGGUGACUGCAGAUUGAGAAAGUGACUGCAGAUUGAAACAUCAUUGCGGAUAAAUCAUUUGUUGUCAUAUGGAUGACUGCGGUAGAAGAACUAAGAGGAUCACUUGAACAAAGAUUAGUAAAAACAAACAGUAAUGACCAUUGAAGUAUAAGUAUGAUAUAUGGUUGCGGUACAUAGGAUAUAUCAAAACCAUCUAUCAUACAUAACUUCAACUAGGACCGCAACAGCGACCAAGGAUGGUCUGCGGUACCUAUCAAUUCAAAAAGAAUUGUGGGUCCGGAUUCAUCAUUCCUAACAUUUUUAAGAAACUAUUGAGUUUUGUAGAGUCAAGUGCUUUUGUGAAUACAUCAGCAAUCUCUUCAUGAGUACGGACAAAAAUGAGUUCAAUGUUACCUUUUAGGAUGUGGUCUUUGAUGAAGUGAUAUCGUAGUUCAAUAUCCUUGGUCUUGGAGUGCUGAAUUGGAUUGUGAGAAAUCGCUAUAUCACUUUCAGAGUCACAAUAGAUUGGUAUCCGCAUCAUUCUGUAUCCGUAUUCCAAUAGUUGUGUUUUCAUCCAUUAUACUUGUGAACAACAGCAGGCUGCAGCCACAUAUUCAGCUUCUGCGGUAGACAGUGAUACACAGUUUUGUUUUCUUGAUGACCAGUUGACGAGUCUUCCACCGAGAAAUUGACAUCCACCUGAGGUGCUUUUGCGAUCAAGUUUACAUCCGGCAUGAUCCGCAUCUAUGAAUGCUUGAAGGCUGAAAUCCUUUCCUACAGGGUAACAUAAUCCAAGAGUUUUGCUACCCUUUAAGUACCGUAGAAUCUGCUUGGCUACGGUCAUGUGUGACAUUUUUGGGUCAGCCUUGUACCUUGCGCAUACACCCAUUGCAAAGGCUAUAUCUGGUCGGCUUGCGGUCAGGUGCAUCAACGAGCCAAUAAUACCUCAAUAAGUCUUGUGAUCAAUAGAUUCGCCUGAGGGAUCAGCAAAUAUCUUAUAUCCGAAGGCCAUGGGGACCUUAGCCGAAGAACAAUUGUCCAUUAAAUCUUUCUUUAACAAUUCUGAGGUGUAUUUUUCUUGAUGAAUGAAUAUCCCUUAAGGGACUUGUUUCACUUGACGUCUUAGAAAGAAGUUAAUCUCUCUAUUCAUGCUCAUUUGGAACUUUUUGGUCAUGAUCUUAGAAAAUUCAUUCACCAUCUUUUUAUUAGUUGAGCCAAAAAUGAUAUCAUCCACAUAUAUUUGUACAAGCAUUAGAUGAUCACCAUUUGCUUUUCUAAAUAAAGUGGGAUCAAUCACUCCUCGUUUGUAUCCGGACGAGAAAAGAAAUUCAAAGUGAGUCUCGUACCAUGCUCUUGGGGUUUGCUUUAGACCGUAGAAUGCUUUUUCAAGCUUGUAGCAGUGGUCUGGCAAUUCAAGACUUUCGAAGCCCGGAGGUUGUUGAAGAAAAACCUCUUCUUUUUAACUCACCGUUAAGAAAAGCACUUUUUACGUCCAUUUGAUGAACCUUGAUAUUCUUGUGUGCUGCGUAUGCUAAGAAGAUCCGGAUGGCUUCCCUUCGUGCUACCGGUGCAUACGUUUCAUCAUAGUCAAUGCCUUCAAGUUGACUAUAUCCCUUGGCAACUAGUCUUUCCCUGUUUCUGACGACCGCACCAGAUUCAUCCAACUUAUUCUUGUACACCCAUCUAGUGCCAACAGUGGUGUGGCUUUGCGGUUUUAGAACGAGCUGCCAUACCUUGAUUCUUUUGAAUUCUUCGAGCUCUUCUUGCAUUGCGGAUAUCCAGUCUGGUUCGAGUAAUGAUUCUUUGAUCGUCCAUGGAUCGACCAAGGACAUAAAUGUUGUGUAGUGGCAAUGAUCGGAUAAGUCCUUGGAUGAUCGAGUCUGGAUUCCUGCGGAUGGGUUGCCGAUAAUUUGACCUGGUGGGUGGUCUCCCGUCCAUACGUGUAGACAGGGUUGCAGAUGAUCAUUAGCUGUGGUGGAGGGAAUGUCUUCAAUAUCAAAAGACUCUGCGGUUGGAUAUGACAGUUCCCCCUGGACUUGAGAACAUCCUGCUGAAUUGUCUUGAACUGGGACAGAGGGAUCAGACUUUUCUUUGGUCAGAUGGCGAAGGUUCCCCCUGGAGUGUAGAAGUGAGUUCGCCUUGAACCUGUGAAGGUUCCCACUAGAUUGCGGAUGGGAGUGUGAUAAUCCUUGAAUCUGUUCUUGUGUCAAUUUUUUCUAUGUUUUCAUCAUCCGAAUCCGAAGAAACGUUUGAUGGUUGAAACUCUCUGCGGAUUGGAGCUUUAACUUCUAGUACUGGAACCUCGAUGGUUGUUGUAUGGUCCAGAGUUGAGUUUUCCCCCUCAACCGGUGAGGUGGAAGUAUUUAGUGAUACUUCUUAGGACAAUGUUGGACCAGAUACAUCAGCAUGCUGCUGCUGAGCUUCUAGAGACACAAGAACUUCAGAUAACUUGGUUGUAUCUACCGGAUCAAAGAGAUCAUCAUAGUUUACUUCAACUAGAUUUAAUGGACCCGAAGAGGCAGGAAUAUCACUUUCUAGAAUUGUUGUGGUUUCGGUUGAUGGAGCGGUGUUGCGGAUGUGAUAGUCAUCAAAUUUCACAUCGAAACUUUCAAUUAUAAACCUUUUUCGUAUAAUGAGAAAUCGAUAAGCAACCUUGUUAGUGGAGUAGCCAAGGAAGAUCCCUUCAUCAGACUUUGGUGCGAAUUUGUUGAUGUGGUCUCUGUUGUUGAUUACAAAGCAUCUACAUCCAAAUGUAUGAAAGAAUCGGACAUUUGGCUUGCGGUUGUUAAGGCCCUCAUAUGGUGUUUUGUUGAGAAUUUUGCACACAAUGCUUCGAUUUUGUAAAAUACAAGUUGUGGCCACUGCUUCGGCCCAGAAGUAGAGUGGAAGGUGUGCAAAGUUGAGCAUAGAUCUGGCAGCUUCUACUUGAGUGUGGUUCCUUCGUUCUACUACCCCAUUUUGUUGUGGUGUGUAAGGAGCUGAGAAGUUGUGAGUAAUCCCUUUGGAAACCAAGAAAAUAUUUACAAGAUGGUUAGUAAACUCGGUUCCAUUAUCACUUCGGAUACGUAUAACUGGUAACUUGAUCUAAAGUUCAAUUUCCUUGAUGAAGUUGAUCAACACCUGCAGUGUUUCUGACUUUAGUCGAAGAAAGAAGCCCCAUAUGAAACGUGUGAAAUCAUCCACUAUAACCAGUAUGUAUUUUUUGGGAUGAAGACUGGCUAUGGUAGAUGUACCGUAGAAAUCAAUGUGUAAGAGUUCCAAUGGUUCAUAAAUUGAGGAGUCAAUCAUCGUGGGAUGACUUGCCUUGAAUUGCUUUCCACAUUCACAUGCAGGACAGAGAGUAUCAUUGCUGAACUUGAGGAUUGGAAGACCUAUGACUAGUUCGUCUGUGACCAAAUUGUUGAUGUAUCUAAAGUUGAGAUGAGCUAGCACUAGUAGAAAACUGCCCUUUAAUGACAUGAAAACAAUGACACACAGUGAUUUACGAUACGCAUUUUUGUGUGUCCUAGAAAUAAUGUCGAUUUUUAAGAAAAAUGAAGGAUAGAGGACACCUAUUCUUGCGUGCCCUAAAAUUAGUGUCCAAUAAAAAAAAUUAAAAACACGGAGGGCACCUAUGUUAAAAUGAGUGUCGUGUAGAGGUGUCGCUUUAUAUUUUAUUUAAUGAACACGCGCGUUUUGUUCAUUCACAGCUUGGGGGAAAUGAAAAUCUCAAAAGUUUGAAACGCCGCCAUUUUAUCUCUGCAUUAUUUCCAUCGUUCUUCCUCUAACUGAUCAAUACCCAGAAAACCCUAAUAUCAUAACCACUCCUCUUUUCUCGCACAACAAAAUCCCAAAACAUCACCAAAUACUAAAUUCCACGAAAUCGCUGUGACCAUUUUAGCUAGGGAUUUUUUCUAGAACGAAAACACUCUCGCAUCUCUCUUAGCUCUGAAACAAUGGACGAUUCACCUUCCUUCGCCUUUGGUCACUUCUCCUCCGGCGACGUCAAGCCUUCCUCAUUACAAAUCGGCCAACGAUAAGUUAAUACUUAUAACAGAAUCGUUUCACUCUCAAUUUGGUGUGCGACUCCUCCAUCGCACUGAUGACUACGAAUGUGACUCUUCCACCACACCUGUGAUUGCGUCCCAUCGCACCUCCCUGGCCGCUACCUUAAUAGGUUUAUCUAUUCAAUUAGAUUUUUCUUUUCAGUUAGAAAUCGAUUUCGGCCCCUCUCCUGCUGUUCAUCUCUUCACUAAAAUUGUUUUUCAUCUAUCCACUAAAAUCUUGACGGUUUCUUUAAUUUCACUCCUAGGGUUAUUUGAUAGCUCUUGUAUGGUUUAUUCCCUAUACUGAAUCGAGAGUCAAAACCAUUGUGGUAGUUGUGGCAGAAUCAAAAUGAGGGAUUGAACCAUUGUAGCAGAGAGCUCUUGAAACUUUUGAUUAAUACUUCUCAAGUCGUCUCGAAGGUAAUGUGAACCUCUUGAUACUUCUCAUGUUGACUCUCUUUCUUUAGUAUAACUAUCGUCUUUUAAAAUUAGGGCUUCUGUUUGAAUCAUUUCAUUGAAUGACAGGUGAAUCAGACCGCCUUCUUAAUUUAUUUGACAUUGAAGAACAGUGCGUUGAAUUUCUUUGUCAUGUCCAAUUUAUCUCGACCAGAUCUCAAGCAGGUUUCGAUCUUCAUCUCUAUUGAUGCUCUAAAUUUUUUUCCAUCAAUGGAAUUGUGGAUUUUUAUAAACCCUAGCUUGUACAUAAACCCUCUUUUAACCGAGCUUGGAAAGAACAGUGCGUUGAAAUCAUUUAUCUAUAUCACCAUGUAUAUGGGUUUUACAUCCUCAAGUUUUGAUCAUUCAUUUGAUAGCUAAGUGUGCUCAUAAGGGCAAAAAAGUUAGCUUAUAGUUCUAUUUCUGCUUUUCUAAUCUUUUAAUCCCAAUAUGUCCUAACUGUUUCUCUACGCCUGUUCAUAUUACUUCUUAAGGUAUAUGCAAUUGCAGAUUCUAGACGGCAAGAAUUUCUUGGCUUUAAAGAGUUUAUUACAACUUCAAUCAUCAACAAGAGUUCUACACUUCCAUUGAUGAUUAUUGGAAAGUAAGUCACUCGCCUAUACACUUCCACCUCUGAUCUCAACUGAGAAUAAAGUUCACCGUACAAUGAAAACGAUUCUAAUCAAACCACUACAUCUAAUACUUUUUUUGUGUAAUUUGUGCAGUUAGAGGUCUACAAUUUGUGCUUUUUGUUUUGUACCAGUGAUGUCUGUUGUGGGUUUUUAAAGCAAUUACGACAGUGGUAUGAACAUGAUUGAUGAAGGUUUGGUGAUGAGUAAUGGCAAGUUAUGCCAUCAUGUUUUAAAAUCAUGUAAGUUUUUUUCUUAAUAAUAUUUUUUGGGACUCAAUUUGAAGGAAAAUUUAAAUGUUAUUUGUUGAUUACCAUAGAACUAUGAAAUUGGAGAGGAAUAGGGCAUGAGAAAUGUUAAGGAACAAAUGCCAACCUUGGAAAUUAUAUCUCUUUCGAUACUUUGUUCUUAUUUUUCUUCUUUACUGAAUGUACAUAUGAUCACCAUGUAUUUGAUGCAAUAUCUGACUCACCCUUUUUGUUAUUUUAUUUUCGAUUUGCUUGUAACUUCCAAUUUCACAACCAACUUUCAUUUUAAUUAACUGGAUGGUUGCCAUUGUUGUUCAUAAUAUUUCUUAUCUCAAUACUUUGGGUUUAUAUUAUUGUAUUGCAAACUGUGUGAUUAGUCAAAAUGUUGUUUCACUAGUCUGGGAUUUAUCAUUUGUUUUCACUUUGCUAAGAUCAUCCAAAUGAUAGGAGGUGUGAAAUUGCUAUUGAUUGUCAAAUUAAAUGUAUACUAUUUUCUAAUUAAUGAGAAUUUAAGUACAAAUUUCUAGACGAUUUAUUUAAUUGCGAUUAAUUACAUCCGUUAUCCAUCAGAUUUGCAUGCCCUUUUGGUUUCAAUCCACCAAAUAACCCUGGUACAUAAUGUUAUAUGGCUUUAUUAGUAUCCAAAUUACGAAAUUUCCCUUCAAGUUGUUGAUACUGAUUCCCUUUUGUUUCUUCAAAUGGCAACUUUAUUAAAGCGCCCUAGGACGCCUCUUACCAAUAAUGUUGAUGUUGAAUAUCAAACAAUUGGACUAUGAACAUGUAUUAAAGAGAACAAGGACAUUUAUAAUAUCUGAGGAAGAAAGAUUCUUUCUCUCGGAAGUAAGCUUCUUUCUCUCAUUCAAUAUUAUAUUUCUUGAUUAUUUAAUUUGCAUUCUCUUUUACCAAACUCGACUCAUUUGACACAUAUAUAUGUGAUGUUAGCAGCUGAAUCAUUCUGCAUGAGAAAGUUCAUGGUCCAAGAUGAUACUCAUCUGAAGAUUUACCUAAAGUUGUGAUGAUGACACCAAACCAGGUUUCGGUAGUCAAAAGCAUCAAUUUCCAUCUAUUAGAUCAAAUUUUGCUUCUUGGUUAGUUUUCAUCUGCUAAAUAAAUAUGGUUGUAUUAUGUUAAGCAUUUAUUAUCUCAAUUUUUUUUUCUAACUCUUUAAAUAAUUACAGCUGAAACAACUACUAGAGAAGUCAUGAUAUGGGAACUAGGUAGUAGCAAGAAGCUUGCUCAUAAAAAUUCAUGGUUUGGGAUUUUCAGGUUUGCAUUCUAAUUCGGAAAACGCCAUUUUUUUCUUUUUGUAUAUUUGGAGUUGAGAUGUUCUAUACCUAAAGUCUUAUAUUAACAAUGAAUACAACCAUUUUUUAUUUUUAUUUUUGAAAAUUUGAUCAUGAAGAAGAACAAUGCUGUCUUGUAAGUGUCAUUUCAUCAAAUUGCAAAAAAUAGCAAUGUACUUGAAAUAUGGAGCUUGAAAAUUAAAAAAGCUUACAACAAGAAUUCGGUAUUUGUCUGGCCUGACUCAAAGCUCUGUACACAAUACAUAAGCACCACAAUGUUAUUUUUUUUAGUUAACAAGCAGCAUGAAUAAGCAGUUUUUACUGUGCUGAACAUUUGUUAAUACUUGUCGUUGGCAUGCCACUUAAUUGAGAAUUUGGAUUCACUUCCCAAACAUGAUCAUACAAAAAAGGUAGCCCCUGCAUUCAUUCUUUUUUUCAGUUUCUUUCCAUCUUUUUCGACCAUUUGUGUCAAUUGUCUUUGUUUCAAAUUUUCAGCUUUAUUUUGGGUUAAUGGCGGUUGUUGGUUGCAUGGUUGUUGCAACUCAGGUGCUCAUCCUAAAGACUUGGAGUAUGUGAAGCGUCCCCUCAAACUUAUUUUCUGACUUGAAUGUUGUUUUUGCUCCCUCACAUUUUAUACUGAUUUUAUUGAUGUUUUUAUUAGUAUGUGAUGUCGUUGAACAAUUCGGACGGAAGGGAACAGAGGAAGAAUAUGACGACGAGGGGGAUUAUGAACAAAAGAUGCAUUCAACUACAAAUAAAAACUCUGUAUAAUUUAUACUUUUGUGUGGUACAUGUUUUGUUUUAACACCAGUCAUGGAUAUGUUAUCUUUCACUUAUAGACUUAAUAUGAUAUCAGGUUUUAUAUAUAGUGACCUUUUGUCAUAAUAAUAUGUUAUGUGAAGACCAUUCAUCUCUGCAUCCUGCAACAUCUCAUGAACCCGAGACCAAUCAGCUUCAACUGGUUCCAGUAACCGAUAAUUCCCAAGAAUUGGCAGUUUCAUGAAUUGAGGGUAAUAAUGACAUUUUAUCAGAAUCCAAGAGACAGUAAGUUAAUGAAAUGUUAUAUGUUUUUUCAGGAAGAGAGAGAAUGAAGGGAUUUCAACCAAGACAAACUGUGAGCGUCGUGCAAUUGUUCACACAACAAGUAUUGUAGACAUGCUUCUCUGUCUACUCUAGCUGUUCGUGAGUACAUGUUUCAACUAAUUUUUGUCUCACACAACCAAAAAAAAGUGCAUUGCCAUCAACACAAUUAAAAUAUUUCAAAGUCUGGAAGGUUUAAAUAUAAUAACCAAUAUUCACAUUUUUCUUUUUCCAUCAACAAAAAACAUGUGUCUUUGUUAUACAUACAAAUUAGGAAGGUAGAUCCGACUUUUGACAUGGAUGAUUAUUUGUUAGUUUUAUAGGAAUGUAUAACCCAUGUUAGCAAUGUAUUAUUUUUGUUUAACAUUUGAAUGAUUCUUUGUGAUUACGAAAUUUUUUUAUAUUAUGCAAUGGAUUGUAUUUUUUCUAUAUGGUAUUUUAUUUCUAUUAUGAGACAUUAAAUGCAAAUUUAAUUUAAAAAUUAAGAAAUAUAGAAAUAUAAUUUUUAAACAUUUAAAUUUACGAUACACAAAAAUGUGUGUCAUCUUCGUUUAUGACAUUGCCUUUCUUGACAGGGGUUUUACUCAUACGGAUUGCGUGUCAUAAAUGCGCGUUGUAAAUGCGCGUCGUCUCUCUUUAUGACAGGGCCUUUCUUGACGCGCAUUUGCGCGUUGUCUGAGCAUUUUACGACGUGCAUUGCGCGUCGUAAAAUGCUGUUUUCUAGUAGUGUAGCUUGCGAUGCCAUAGCCAGCUGACUUCGGAUACUGCUUUGGAUAGGAAGCAUAACUGCGGUUCGCCUAUGAUCAGAGAUACAUCCAUAGGAUACAUAGUACCUUCGGAUCUGGACUUGAUCAGACAAGUGCUUCUAUCGCUUGUCAUUACAUAGCAAAAUUGGUCAUCAAAUUCAACACGAUGUCCUUCUUUACAUAGUUGACCAACACUGAUGAGAUUGUGUUUAGGGCCUUCUACAUAAGCGACCUUUUGAAUAGAGAAGUUUCCCGUAGUAAGAACACCAUAAACUUGGAUUAUCCCAUUCGCAUUAUUCCCGAAUGUGACAUUUCCACCGUUGCAAAUUGUCCUGAAAUCUCAAAGGUAUUCUAACCUUCCUGUCAUGUGCAAGGAGCAGGCACUAUCGAUUAACCAUUCUUCUUCUUGUUCCUCCUUACAUAAGGCAUAAAAAUUACACAGUUUGUUUAGGCAUCCAAACUAGUUUAGAGCCUGGGAUAACAGAUGAGUUUCUGAUUGAUGCAUGAAACGAGGUUGUCGGGACUGGUUUCGUGUCAACUUUUAAUCCUAGUCCUGGGUGUUUGUGAGUUUUUGGCAUGCUGUGCCUUUUUGAAAAGUAACGAGGUUUCUGAAAAGGCUCAGUUACAUUGAUAUUGACAGGCUGAAAAUUUGUCAUUUGUUUUAGCACUUUGUUUGGUCAGCGGUCGGAAGGAUGUGGUAGAUUUGUGAUUGGUCCGAGGUUGGUUAGAUCUGACAUGUGUGUUGUUGGAAUUUGAAAAAGUUUGUUUCAAAGAAGAUUUAGCACGUGUAGAUACCUUGGACCUUUUUCUAGGAUUUAAUAAAACGCCCUUCCAGUUGUUGAAAUUUUGAUGUGAUUUUAAAAGUGUUGGAGUAGGUAAGAUACCAUUCCAUUUUGGAUCAUCUGAGGAAUAGAUUUGAAAACCAUUGCUUUGAAAAUACUCUUCUUUCUUUUGGGUUUUGUCAGAUGAGUUAGGAAUGGAUGUUGAAACUGCACAUUCCUUUUUGCAUGUUUUCUUGAUGGGAGAGUUUUUCAAAAAAUAGUGAGCGAAAACCAACUUUUCUGGAUUCUUAGAUUUGGAAAUCUGAUAUGUCUUUUAUUUUUAGAAAAGGUUUAUCGAUUUGUGCCUUGGGAUCCAUAUUCCUCUUUGAAAGCCUUUUUUUGCUAAGGUUUUUGGAGAACCGCAGUCAUUAGUGUCCAGCUGCGGUUUCCUGGAAACCUUAGAAGAUUUUUGAAAAUGAGUGAUUGACUCAUUUGAACUUGAAGGAUCAUGGUUUUGAGAGCAUUGACCUAUUUCAAAGUUCUCUAUGGGUAAUUCAUUGUGAAUUGGCUGAAGAGUCACGAAGCUUUUUAUUGUGGACUGCGGUAAGGAUGAUUCGACUACCGCAGAGUAGGUCUGAGUUGUGACUUCAAUGGGACUUUUGUGGGACUUCUUGUUGGGUUUUGAGCAUUCUAACACUCCUAAGUGUACAUGCAACCCUAAAUACCUUGGAUCUAUGUUUUCUCUAUUAUACAUGCAAUUAUGAACAUACAAGGUAUUAUCCAAAUCUAGCAUACAAAAUAAUGAAGAUAACAAGAUAGAAUACAUACCUCUUUGAUGUAGAAUGUCUUCAUGAAGCUUGAGUGCCUAGUGCCUCAAGUGUGACACCUCAAAUGGUUCACACAACAUUAAAUGCACUUGGAAUAACUUGAGAGAAACUUGAACACUCCUAAUAUCGGCUAGCCCUUUCUUAUUAUUCAUAGUGGCCGAUUUUUCCCAAAGAAUAUGAUUUUAUAUAGUUGUUACAAUUAGGGUAAACCCUAAUUGUCAUGGCCUUCCAUUUCCUUGGAUCCAUUGGUUCAAAUACACCAUGGAGCAUCCAUGGACCAUCCUAUGGGUUUUAGCCUAACUUGAUUAUCCAUGGAGCAUUAGCCCACUAUACAAGUAUGGAUGAUUUACACAAUCAACCCAUAUAUUUAAUUAGUCUUCUUUUGCUCACUUAAUUAAUUCUAGAUUAAUUCUUGAUCAAUACUAAUUAAAUAAUCCUAUUAAUAUAUUAGAACUUAUAAUAUAUGAAUCAACCUUAACUGUUAUUUCUCUCAUUAUAGUCUAUCCAAGUGCAUGAUGCCAUGCAACCCAAAUGGACCAUGCCGGGUCAAGUCUUACCAAUUAUAGUUAUGGACUUAGACAUUAAUCCAACAGUCUCCCACUUGGAUAAGUCUAAAACUAUUAUUGCAAUUAUGAAUUCAAGAACCGACUGGAAAUCGUAGCUCUCAAAAGCUUCCGUCAAACUCUAACCUUGCCGAUGAACUCUGACCUUUGUCAAUGACUUGUCCAUUAGAUAAGUGAUCAUAUAUUCCUCCAUUCUAGAUAUCAUAUGGACUGAGACAUGGAUUAUCAAUCAUUCUCUCUAUUCAUUUGUUGUUUCCCAAUUUCCGAUUCAUGAUGACUGACUGAUUGAACAAAUCAAAUCAGUCCUUGCUUGGCCAAGCACUCACAUGUAUGAUCAUUAAAUCAUCGAGGGGCCUGUAGACAUCGCUUUUAUCCUGAAGGUAAAAGGAAUGGAUAAACUUCUACUCAUAUGGCUUGUUCUGCUACUUGUUGAAUCAUACACUUAGGCACGUUUUAUAACAUCGAGUUACCAAUGCGCUUUCGUGCAAUCAGUGUACUAUCAACUCAUAGUAACAACUCAUAUCUCUAGGUUUGAAGAAUAUAAGAUAUUAUCCUCUCAUGAUCACUCGUGAUAAAAUCCAUGAAGUGAUUCAAAUGAGCGCGAGUUGAAUCCAAUACUCAGAACUUAUGAGCACUCAUGAGUGUUGUAGCACAACUUUGUCCACCAACAUGGACCUCUAUAAGCCAACCCAUGACAGUCUUGAUUCAUAUCUACUUCCAACAUAUGACCGACUGUGGAUGGUUUGAAUAACUUAGUCAUUUCGGAAGAAUAACCUAGUUAUAAUGGAAGUCUAAACAUGCAAAGUGAAACACAAGAAUAAAUAAAUCUAAUAUGGUCUCAGAACUUAUGAAUAUAAAUAAAACACCUUUUAUUUAUCACCAUAUGAUUGCACAUUAUUCAUUGUAUACUGUUUCAGCUAUACACUUUAUUCUUGAAUUUAAACAAUAGUUGUCCCAUGAUCCAAUCAUGUACACUAUGUUUUCUAAACACUAGUCAUGCCAUUCACCAAGUAUGCAUACUAUGUUUGUCUAUGACCCUUACUUUGUGAAAUAAACCAAUUGACCAAACUUUCAAUGAUUCUAAUUUCACACUCCCGAAUUCUUAUGGCAAAUGCAGGAAUUCCAAAUUCAUGCCAUUUUGCCUAAAUCUGUUAGAUUCUCCACUUAUAUGCAAUGAUUCUCUUGUAAUGAUUAUGGACAAAGUCAUAAAGAUUUGACAACAAACAUUACAGAGCAUUCCAAAGGAGAUCAACUCCUUGGAAAUAUCCUUCUUGCAUUAAGUUUCCUAAUCUUAUACAGACUUAUUUAACAGCUUCCACCAAUGGGAUCAUUUCCACAUUCCCUUUUUGACUAUCACUUCUGAACAAGACUUGCCUCUUUUCAGAAUAUGUCAAUAUAGUCCUUCCAACAAUUAACACUAUACUUCCAACUGUCCCUGAGCAACCAAUAUUUGGUAAACCUUAGAUUGUCCUCGACAAUUGCUUAAUUGUUUUAGUCAUAUCCAGUUCUAGACCUUUUCCCUUCUAAUGCCCCAGGCAUCUGGAAAAUUUUAGACAGGAUCAAUAUAGCACAUGUAAUCAAUCCUAUAUCCGAAACAUAUGGGACACGAUUCAUGAGGUCUCACAUAAAGACUAAACCAGUCUUUUGCUACAAUAUUUUCAUUUCUAUUUGCCAUGUUCUCAUAAUUCAGAUUAUGAAAAGGGAUGCCGUAAUCAUAAUCGAAUUUUAGAACGCAAAUAAUGAACCCAUAUAUAGAAUUUCCUUAUGUUGAGCCAUUCCAACAUGAAAUUCAUAUAUAUUCUUGACUAAAUUUGAUUAAAAUCUCAAUCUAAGCUUUUAGAAUUGAAAUGAAGUAUAAUUUCCUCUCCCUUAAUUAUAUCAAAACAACUUUUUCAACUACUACAGCCUCACGAAUUGAAACUUUUGUUUUCUAUAAUUAACACUUAUACUCCCACUAGCAUUGACAUGUACUCAGAAAUCAACUGGACUUCUAAACAAUUUCAGAACUAUGAAAAGAGAUGUCGUAAUCAUAGUCUCAAUUGUUUAGACCUUUUCUAUUUCUCAUAAGUCCAUGUUAGUGUGCUCUACUAACGACUUUGAGAAUGCAAAGAUUGCUAUCUACUUAAAAUCUACUUAGUGAAAGUGUUUCCUUACCAUCAUUUUCAUGAAUCAAAGAGGAACCUUUUGAAACUUAGAUUUUUCUGGUGUAUAAUUUCCUACCCAUAUGAAUUUGUCAAAACCAUAAUCACAGGACAAGGUUACUGACAUAUCCACACUUAUAUGGAUUAAACUUGAGCAAUCUUAAAGUCUUGCCACCUGGCAGCUCAAGGGUCUGCCAUUACUUCCAAGUUGUUAUGCAACCAAUUGAGAACUCUCAAAACUCCUAUGCAAAGCCAACUUUAACUGGAAUGGGCACAGAAUAUGUCAACACGAUAGGUUGUAAACCUCAAGUCGUGUGCUGGUGAAGAACUUCAGGUUUUAUUCUUGAUUAGUUCUUGAGACUUUCAAGACCUUUUAAUACUCCCACUGUCCUCUUGACAUAUAAUACUAUCUUGUCAGAUAUUCAAGAGAUAGUGCAGAUUCUUUAUCAAGACAAAUACUUCACACAAUUGGCCUAAGUUGGUCUUUGCUUUAUUCAAAACAUCACAACUUACCAAUUUCAAAUGUACAAGAGUAGGACACUUUUACUCUUACAUUUGAAAAGUGCUAUAAACCUUCUUUAAGAUGUGUCACUCAAAUUACAAUCUUGGAGUAUAACUCUAAGAAUUGUUUCUGGAACGAAGUAUGAAUCAUCUUCUUGAUUUGACCACUUCAACAAUUCAUAACUCCUCUUUUUAGCUAUCAGAAUGCACUUAGAGGAUGAAUUGUGAUAUGGUCUUUUAAUCAUUGAGAUGAUCAUAUAUCAUGAUACUACAGUACUCUCCCAUCUUUCCAGAUUUGAGAAAAUUUUAACCUUCUACCUAAAUUGAUUCUUCUUAUUCGCUCUGCCAUACAUUGAAACUUGUUUAAUGUUUCAGAAUUAUACUUGAACUUUUAAGUAUAACCAUAUUUACUAAACUUUAGUAAAUCAUGACGAAUAGUCUUAACGAUCAUUUGUGGUGGGCUUGAUCAGCGCACAAGAGUGUGUACUCGAUCCUUUAGUCCUUUACUUGAUUCACACAUCCAUGUGAACAAGUAAUUAGUCUUAAUUUUCCAAUGCUUGAAAGUUAUCAUUCAUCAUACUUUACAACUUGCAGGAUUCCAAGUUUCUGUCCAACUGAAAACUUGGGUGAUGAGCUGCUUUCCUUAUGUGGUAAAUUUAGACACUACCACAAAUGAAAGAAUCAAAUUCAUAUUUCCAAUAUUGUUAUCAAUGGAAUCAUAUAAGCAACAAUUUUUUUCCUCAAAUGCCAUUGUAAGGAUAUUUUAAAACAAAUAAAAUCAUCAUUUUUCUCCUUUUAUUUUAAAAACAUUGUAGAAAAACUAUCCUUACAAUGCAAAAGAGCAUGAAAACUUUUGUUAUCUAUUCCUAAGCAAUAUAUCAUAACUCCUAAGAAGUAGCUCAAGAAUCCAAUCUUCAAACUAUGCGAUAGAAAUCCAUCUACGCGAUUAGAUUUAGCAUAUUCUUUCUUUAAGUUUCUUCACUUUUCUUUGAUUCUUACAAACAUCAAUAUGUGACCCAGUCACAUCAUGUAUCAAAAAUCUUAGUAUAGAAACUUAGCAGAGUUAGAUAGUGGAUUUUACCUAAAGUAGGUUCAAACUUAUUAACUUUAACAUCCUUAGGUAAAAUUGGUAGCUUUGCAACUAAUGCCCCUUCCUUUGGCAAUAUAAACAUAUGGACCCUUUGGUAAUGGUACCGGUACUAUCAAAGACUUAGCUUUUCACUUUACCAUUUGGUCAACUGAGUUGACUAUGGCCGAUCCCUUUCCAUUGGGAAGAGAAUGCUUUUUCUGGAUUUCCAGUGUCAUCAUUGUCAAUGUCCAUAAAGUUUUAGGAAGUUGAUCUUAGCAAAUAGAUAAGAUCAUUAAGGGUCUUGUCAUAGUCUGUUUCAUAGGUGUCCCAAAGGAACUCACUAUGUGACUUAGAAAGUGAUUGAACCACCAACUUUCUCAAGACUUUGACACCCAACUCUCCCGGCUUGUCAAUAUGUGACUACAUCUCCAAGAUGUGANGACCAUGCCUUGCCAAUAAGGCUUGAGUGACCUUGAACUUGUGGGAUAGGCAGAUUAAUUGGAGGAGGUGGAGGAAGUGAAGUUACAAGAGAUUUGGGAGGAUCAUAGAUGUUUGAACUAGACAUAUUUUGGGAGAUAUUCAAGAUAGUUGAUUAAAAAUCCUUAAUAUAACACCCAAUAUUAGAUAUUAAGACUAGGACCCUACAAACUAUUUUAUAACUCGUAAGAGGGAUGCCGUAAUCCAAGCUAUAAAAUAUUUGAAGGUAGGUGAAUGACGAUUCACCAAUUUCCACCAAGAUAAACAAAAUGUAUUAUUAGGUUUUAAUUGGAUUUGAAACUCCUAGAUCUUUUGAUAUUCAUUGAAAUUUUCAAUGGCAUGUUUCAAUCUCGAGUGUGCCCUUCAUGUUUUGUGACUGGGAUGCCGAGGAUCACAAAACAAGGUGUGAAGUAACCAUGCAAAUAUACUUGGUACCCUUAAGUGUUUACCCCUCAAUCGAUGUGCCGGCUAACCACACACACUCCAUCGAUACUAUGAUAAACAUUAAGUUACCCUUUGCCUACCUUGUUAAAUACAAGUUAGUGUGUCGGUUAACCACACACGCUCCACUAACCGACUUAAACAAAGUACAAAGUGUAAUUUCAUGGAUUAGCACCUUAUUCACAUUUUCCUAAGUAACUAAGAUUGGGUAUUAUUAAGAGUUUAGUUACUUAGUAUUUAUCAUUAAUACUUUUAAUGAAAUGAGAAUUCUAGUCCUUGUUCUACCCAUUCGGCUAACGACCCUCCACCGGUCAAGGAAGCAGUGGGUGAGAGUGGACACCCACUAAAUAGCCAUUUUAUAGGCAGUAACCUUACACCCCCCCCUUAUAGACCGGCUUCGUGAAUGAGGCCUACUAAUGGUAACACUGAAUUUACUCUUAUACAUAUAUGUACUGCUAGAAAAAUAGCCUUUUACGACGCGCAUACAAUGACACGCACUAAUUUACGAUACGCUAAAGUGUGCGUGCUAAAAAUAAUGUCAUCUAUCACAAAAUUUGAAGGAUCAAGGACGUGCAUUUUGGCGUGCCCUUAAAAUUAGUGUCUUAACAAAAAAAAAAUUAAAAACACGAAGGAUGCUUAUCUUAAGCGUGUGUCCUCUACAUAUGUCAUUUUAUAAUUUUACUCAAACACGCGUCUCUUAUAACAAAAUCACAGGGACAGAUAUUGAUAUUAAUUCUAGGGCUUUUUUAAGACUCAAAACACUCACUCACUCAGCGCUCUUUACCAUCGAUCUGGCGACCUCGCCUCACUUCCGGCAAACCCUUGCUCACUUCUCCUCAUCGACGAUCUCAUCGUCACCUGACCACAAAUUCCUUUUGUUCCAUCUUCUGAAAAAAAACCCAAAUACACGCUCACCCCAUUUUUGAUGCUCAAAAACGAAAAAGGGCAAGCACCUAUGUAUUUUAGAAUAUGUAUUUUGGGGAAAUAGGGGUUUCGGUUCUACGUGUUCUUAUAACCCUGGGAAUCAAGAACCCUGUAUUCUCACACCGGAUUCAUAGUUGAAGUCUACCGGAGAGAAAAGUGUACGGAUGAGCCUAAUGGGUUGGGGAAUAGCAGAGGAAGCGCUAGUCCUUCUUCGUAGAAGGCUAUGUGAUCUCAAUUUCAUCUUCUCCCUCUUCUCCGAUUCUCCCGACAAUAACUACAGGUUCGGUUGAUGGUUAUUCGAAUAUUCUAUAUAUCUUCCAAUUAUGUAUACGUGAAUAUCAUAAUCUCUUUUUUUUCUCAUCCUCUAUUGUGGCGUAUUUAAUCUUUGAACAAAUUUCAGCAAGUUGAAAUUUAUCGUAUCAAAUUCGGUAACUAAGGCUGUAACAAUUCGAUACUGCUUCUGGGUCCUCGAGGAUGCGGAAAAAUUGCGGUAUAAUACCCAAUUUCUGUGUUAAUUACUUGGAUUUUUUUAUAGUAUUUACUAUGAUUUCAUUGUGUCAUUGAUUAUGGAAUUAUGUCUCAGAUUACUCUAUAUCUGUUGUGAUAUCAGGCACAAUGGUUGACCUAAAAGAGCAUCUCCUCCCACCAAAACCUACAUCAUCUAUAAACCUUAGUGAUGCAUCAUAACAGCUGAUGAAGUUCUACUUUUGAAUUCUCUUGAUAGUUAUGUGUUACAAUAUGUGGUGGAAUUACAAAGACGAUUGAAAGCUACAGGGGUUGGGGUGGUGUGGCAAUCUGAAGGGGCAAAGUUGAACAGACGAAUGGGAAAUUCAAAUAGAUCCUUAGGGUACAUGUGCAUGGUUUGUAGGGUUUUUAAGACUACCUUCCAUUGAAGAGAGAUUAAAAAGAGGUGAUCUCCUUGAAAGGGGUGUUCUUUCUUCUUCAAAGGUAUUAUUUUUGGUCUUUUUAUAUAUGCCCAUUUACAUGUUCACACAGAUUCUAUCUUUUCAACUUUCAUCAAUAGAUUAUGCAUAUACAGUAUAGAGGUCUUUCACUCUCUUCUUGUAGUUAUAGAUUCCUGAUUUCUAAAACAAAAGAAGUUAUUUCAUCAUUUUAUCUGCAAGAAGUACAUAAGAAUAUUCCAUAGAACAACAUGGCGGAGCUUAUUUCUCGAUCACCUUCAUCAGGUUGUCCAUACUACAAGAGAUCUAGAGAGAAAUCGAUAGAGAGAGAGAGAGAGUGUGUGUGUGUAUGUAAAAAUUAAUGAAAAGAAAACUAUCUGCAGUGUGCAAUUUCUUGUGUUGUUUAUUACAAGUUUAAGAGAUAUAAAGUUGAUUAAUUUGCAAUAAAAUGAUCUGUUCGUGGUUGGAAAACAAAAUAAAUUGCAAACUUUGAUUCAUUCUUUGCAUUCACUCUUUGUUGCUUUGUAGUUGCACUUGAAAUUUUUUUUCUUUCCUACGAGUGAGUAGUUCAGGAAGAUAUUCAAGACCUUUUUUUCAUUUAAUUAACCUUGAUCUUCGUUUAAAUGACUUAGAAAUUCAGGGAUGAUGACCAAUUAUAUUGGGGUAUUCAUAACCUUUUGUUUGGUAACACUUCACCUGAGAGUUUAGGGCUCUAGAAGUUGCUCUUGAGGCUGUUUGUACAUUUCUGUUGGUGGUGAUGCAACUGGUAACAGAAGUGGAGCUUCAUGAGCUCUUGUGAAGUAUAGGUUUGUCUUUUCAACUAUCUGUUAUAUCUUUAAAAAAGAGUUAAAAAAUUGGUUGAUAUAUAAAUUGAAAUGUGCUGGUUUAACUUUAGGUUGAAGAUCUUCAAUGGUCAGUUUGAAAAGCUUCAUCAAAGACAAUCUCAAUGGACCGUUCUUGACACAGAGCUUAAAGUUAGAGAAUCUAUCAGACUGGCACUUGUUGAAGUCUUGUUACCUGUAUACAGAUCUUUCAUUAAAUGUUUUGGGUACAUAUUUUUUGUGUGAUCUAUCUCAAUUCUCAGGCUCAAAUAAAUGAAAAAAAAAAGUAAACAAAUAUUUUGUUUUUUGUUUUUUACAAUUACAGGGCACUUGUUGAGAAUGGGAAAAAUCCCAAUAAGUACAUAAGGUAUUCAGCAGAGGAUAUUGAUCGGAUGCUUUGUGAAUUUUUCAAGGGUAAGACUUUGAACAAAGCAAGACGAUAGAGAUAACAACAUGUUGAAUUACUCUUUUACCCUUGUGGUAUGUUAGUGUAUCAUGUAGCCUAAAAGGGCAUGGCAUGUAUGUUCUUUUUGUAUGUAUUGGGGUAAUAAGGAUAUGGGUAUGCUAAAAAGUUAAAGAAAAAAAAAUGCUGAAACUUUGAUUAAUUUAUUUUUCUUGGUUGGUGUUGUUAGUUAGUAUGUUACCAGCUGGUAAUUAUUCAUGAAAGGUCUAUACUUUAUAACAAAUAACAUGAAAUACAUGUUUUGGAGCUUGAAUUCCAAGGUGUCAACAAUUCUUUUUUUCUUUUUUUCUUAGUAUCAGUUGCACUAUUUUUUUUAGUAUCAGUUGCACUAUUUUUCUACACUCAAUUGAUUAUAUAUUCCAUAUUUCUGUACUCCUAUUCUACAAUUUCUUCAAUUUCCUAUACCACAAUUCCAGUGUCACCACUUUUGUUCCAGUUCUGCUUCACGAGCACUUGUAAAGGAUAGGUUUGUAUUUUUAACUAGAACAAGGGUAUUUUUGUAAUUUUCUUGUCUACUAAUGCUCUUUUUUUAUUUCUGGUCCUCUCAUAGAGGAGGAUGCUAUUGUAGAUAUAAUGGGACGACAUUAUCAAUUCGUAUCUUCAAUUCAGUCUCGUCUAAAGCAAUGGAUGAUGCAUUUGUGGUUCUAGAAACUGCAUCAACACCUGUCACAUCACCCCCAAGUGUUUUUAUUGAUCCACUGGAAACAGUUCACAAGAUGAAUAAAUCUGGGAGCACUAAUGCUGGAGUAAGUAGGGGUGUGUCUGAUUUUGAUUACAUUGACCCCCUUCAUGGAUUUGGUAAGCCUGCAACAUUAACCAUCCAACAUUUGGUGACAUCACUCAAAACCGGCUUAGAAGCAACACAAGAAGCUGCAUUGGACGCGCUAUUUCUUCUGAGUUGCAUGCCCUACUGAUGUCUCCAAAUCCAGUCGAGCCCACCUCAGUUUCAAGAAAACGCGGGAAUAAUAUGAAACAUAUCCAUUAGAUAAGUUUGAGACUUUUGCCAUGGGUGGAAGUGGAACACAAGAUAAUGGUGUGGACCAUGUUAAUGGUGAAGAGAUGGAUUCAAACUCAGUUGAUGCUGCAAUGAUAGAUGCCAUAGAAUGGAAUCUAUGAACCAAGCAUGUCCUUUUUGCUGUUAAGAAUCUUAUAUAUAUAUAUAUAUAUGUANNNNNNNNNNNNNNNNNNNNNNNNNNNNNNNNNUAUAUAUAUUUACAAAUAAAGAGUUUGAAGUUUGAGAUUCACAUCACAUAAUGAUGAGAUUUUCUUUUCUUUGGGGCAGGGAGCUUCUCUUGGACUUCUAUACAAGUUCAGCCAAGCGUAAGCCAGACCAGAUUAUCAUCUUCAGGUCAAUUAUUUUCUUUGACUUCUGGUCAUUUUAAUAUAUUAUGCUGUCAUUUUCUUUAAACUAAGAACAAAAGCCCAUACCUUUCUUUCUUUGUGUACAUUGGAAACAUCAAGAUUCCUUGUAAUAAUUUAGAAUUUUAUUUGUAAUAGGGACGGUGUGAGCGAGUCGCAGUUCAACCAGGUGUUGAACAUUGAACUAGACCAAAUUAUCGAGGUAUUUGUAUUUCUUAUAAUAGUUACUUAUUUUAUUAAGUAAAUCUGAUUUAAAUGGUAAUUAUGGUGUGGUAGGCCUGCAAAUUCCUUGAUGAGAAGUGGAACCCAAAGUUUCUUGUGAUAAUUACACAGAAGAAUCACCACACCAAGUUUUUCUAGCAAGGAUCUCCAGACAAUGUCCAGUCUGGUAAUAUGUUACUACUCAAUAAAAUACUUCAGAUUUAGAAAUGAGAUGGUUUAAAAGUGGAAUUAUUAUUAUUAUAACAGGAACUGUGAUCGAUAACAAGGUCUGUCAUCCUCGCAAUAAUUACUUCUACAUGUGCGCAAAGGAAGUAAGGGAAAGAGAACUUGCAAAAGCUUCUAUAAACAAUCAAUAUGUAACUGUAAAACUACAAAGAGACGAUCUACAUGGGUUGUAGAACUUCCUCUUGCAGAAGUACCAGAUUGCUUCUUUCAAUUGAGUAUGCAUCUUGAAGCUGUCAGCAAUGAACAUUUCAAUAUGUGUUGUGUUGACUUGAAGAAAACAAAAGACGAACAACAAAUGACAACCCUAAUUUCAGAGGUUAGGGUAAGAUCUCAACUACCCUCUUUCAUCCCAUCCUAACUUUUACUACUAUAUAUGGUUAAUAGACACAAUUACCUCCUAGACUCAGUCAACUUAUAUUUACUUAAAAUAUCAGUAAACUUAAGGAUCAUNUACACCCUAUAAACAACUGAAGUAACGCUUCCUUCUUUCCUACUUGCAACUAGUUUUCCAAAAAAAAAAUCUAUAAAAGUAUAUUCAGAUAGAUACUCCUUUUACAUUAGACAUCUCACCAUGCUUCUUGAUCCUUCAUUUACUGUAUUCUGUACACACCCUUUAGCCAAGAUUCUGAUUUGUAUCAUGAGAGCGUAUCAAAGUGUAAGAUUCAAUUCCCAAAAAGAUAGGUUUUUUGCUUAAAUCUUCGUAUCUCCACUUAAAUCUUCUUUGAGAAAGUUCCGAUUUCCAAAAAGAUAGGUUUUUGCUUCCUAUCAAAUUCCAGGAAAUCGCUUUUAUUAUUAUAAAUCAGGUUUUCCCUUUUGCUAUUCUAAUGAAAUAAAAACUUUGAAGGUCUGAUGUGCGUUUGGAUAAUCAACAAAUUCUCCAGGGGAUGCCUAUCACCAUGUUGUGCGUAGUGUGAAGAAUGAAAGAUCAACACACAUUCAAGAGAUAUUUCUUUCAGUUUGGGCCUUAGUAUGCAAAUGUUGGGUAUUUAUAGUUUGAUACACUCUUGUUGCUUAUGUUUCUGUAGGGUUCAAAUGUAAAGCGUUCACGUAACUUAAGAGGUGACUUAUUGUCUGUACGUAAUACAAGUGUGCACUGAUGAAGAAACUACUAAUUUCCCCUUCACAUUUUAAUUUGUGUAUGAUUGAGGUACACCCCUUAUCAUUUUUUUUAUGCCCGAACAUAUCUCUAGUUUAUCUGCAUUAUCCCCCUCCUACUGUAUAUAUGGGCAAUAUGCAUGGCAUAGACCGUUUAAGUUUAGCAACGGAAAUACCAUUAAUGCCUUUGCCUCUCUUCUCCUCUCCUUCAACCACAAGACUCGAUUCAAGAAGGCCACAAUCCUCUUCUGAUCAAAAUGGUGGUCCAGUGGCAGUGAAUGAGUGGAUAGCAAACGAAGGAGUAGGAGUAGGACAGCCUGUCCCUAUGAUUGGUCGAAUACAAUCUCAAUUGUCUACAUCACUUACUGCCACAGCUGUUGCUGAGUUGCCUUGCCUCUCUCAAGCCUGAACGAUGUUGCUUAACAAUACCCCAUGCUGUCCGUUGCAGGUAUCCUUUUUAUUUAUUUAUUUUUAAAUUAAAAAAGAAAAAUAAGGAGCUUGGUGGGGGUUGAUGUUUGUAUUAUUGUAUACUGUUGCAGUGACAUGGGUGCUCAUUUUUCAACAUGUGGGAGAUAUCAUGUCAAGAGCUACUUGCAGAAAUAUAGGCUGGCAAAGUACCUCUCCGAUUCCUCUUUUGAAGGUAUUCUGUAAUUCAAAAUACUGAAAUCUAAAUUUGAAGAGAUGUAUAUAUAUAUAUAUAUAUNAUUUAGCCCAAAAAAACAAAUGUGGUGACUGCUGAUUGAUUAUUUUGGUGAAAUUGGUAAUGCAAGGAAAAGUGUUUGACCAGAAAGAAUCGGGUGACAUGCUUUCCAGCUUGGAUUGAUCAUCGUAAGUCUUGUUUGUUGUGUAUUGCCUGAUGGAACGAAAUUAUUGAGAAUUCUUGAAGGAUCGUUGAUAUACAUUUCUUAUAACCCAUUUUUUUAUAAUGAUAAAAGUAUAUAGUUAAAUGAUUUAAUAAAAUUAGAAAUUUAUUUUGUGAAAUAUGUUUGUGCAGUGUAAUGCAUAUUACAGAAGCACUGAAGCUGCAGAUGGAGGUGCAAAAGCGACUGCAUGAGCUAUUAGAGGUCUUCUUUUGCCUAAAAUAAAAUGCUAUAGGUUUUUCAAAGUAAAGUAAAGUAGCUUACAUAUAUGAUGAAAGUGCAUAGGUCCAAAGACAGCUUCAAUUACGAAUAGAAGCCCAAGGGAAGUACCUAAAGAAGAUCAUUGAAGAGCAACAGAAGGUGAGUUAAGCCGACCCCUUGGUCGGGAAUCCAAAAACCAAACCGACCCUAUCACUCCACCUCCUCCAUCCAUCAUCAAAAAUAAGAAGUUGAUGCUUUGCUAAAUUCAGGUGGUACCAUACGUGACAGAUAUGCCCUUCUUUGGAAUCAACAAAUGGAAAGGUAAUAAAACAAUAAAUAAUAAUCCAUGUUUUUUAUUUCUUGAUUGGUUCUACAACAAGUGUCUACAAGAAUCUUGUGAAAUAUCUAGUGGGAGUGCCACAGGUGUAUCAAUAUUUAUAUAUUUUUUUCAUUAUAUAUUUCCUAGACCUUUGGAAUCAUGUCUUCUUUUUCUUGGAUGCUGCAUAAUGCAAGCACCAAUCUCUUUCUCUCUUUCUCUCUCUCACACACACACACACACUUUAUCUGUAAACUUAUGUCUAUGUAUUGCAGGAUUGGGCCAAUGAACUCUGAAAUCAAGCAAAAAUAGGUUGUAAAGCAUAGAAAGCAUGCAAGAUUAACUAAAAAAGCACGCCCCGAAGACUCCAUGUCAAUGGUUGCUGAAAGCCUUCAAAAUAAUGAACAUGUUCACUUGUUAUCCCCAGUUGAUGUAUAUGAUUCUCUUUCGGUAUGCAUCAUCUCAUAACAAAUUUAGAGCUGUUUUACUUUGAACAUUAGAUAGAUUUUUAUUGUUGUACAUUGCAGGUGAACAGGUCUGGAAGGCUUCAGAAUAAUGCAACACAAUACUUGGUUGAUAUCGAGUUAUCUAUCUUAGUUAGUUUCUUAACUUUUGUAAUUAUAAGUAACUAAUUAAUCAUUUCUUAGUUUAUUAGGUCAGAUUACAUUAAAUUCAACUGACAUGUCAACAUGUCACCAACUUUUAGGUCUUGUCCCUUGAUGAAGAUCAAUUGCAACAAAUAUUGUAUCUGUAUGAUUAUCUAUGCACUUGUCAGCUAAGAGAGAAGUAAGUGGAAUGUUGUCUCAUCAGUGUUAUCCUUUUUUAAUUACACUUUCAGAUUGUGAGGCACAUUGGUCUUUUAAUGUUUUUAGAUAUGGACGAUAUCGCCCUUGGGGGAUACCUAUAUCAUAAAGACCUUUAGGAUGGCAGAUGCAAUGGUGGCAUUAUGCUCAAAACUUUGUGUUAUCUGAUGUUCGUAGAAGAAUGAAGAAAACUUCAUGGAAAUAAUUAGGAGAACGUCUGUAAGUUGUUCUUUCUUCAAGAUUAACAUAUAUGAUCUACCAUGUUAUCCUAUUUGUUGUGUGCAUUUUCAUCAUGGAAUGCUUGAAAUCUUAAACCUUUUAAAAUCUUUUACUUGUAUAGAGGCAGAAAAAGACGAUAUGUUAAGUUGUACAAGUUGAAACUGGAAUGUCUACGAAAAGAGCAGGUGAGGUCAUCAGUCAUUACACAUAUAGUUUUCAUGAUUUAAACAUUAUAUGGUGUAUAUGAUUCAAACAUUAUUUGGUGUAUAUGAAUUAUGAUCAGCCUCUGGAUGAUGAAAUUGUUUUGGAGUUGGACCAAAUAGAGAAAGUAUCCGAUAUAGAAGAUAUCUUGGGUUACAGGUCUGCUGCUGAACAUGAGCUUCAGGUAUGAUUAUGAUCAUUGUUGUUAAUAUCUAUUGCAUGUGCUUUUUACUUAUACAUUUUAUUAAAGACUAUCAACAUGUAGGAGUUCUUGGUGGAUUCAUAGUGUCUAAUUGUUCAAAUUUUAUACUUCUACAAUUACAGACAAUGGUCUGAUUUUUUUUCUAGUAGUAUGUGUGCACGAAUUAAAUAGGUUUGUAAUUUUUUUUAAAGUAGAAUGCAGUUAUUUGUAUUUGUUGUCAUCGAUUUUUAUCUUUUUGACGCAAUGCAGCAUGUUGCUGCUGAAGGCACAACCUUCGUCAAACAGGCAGAAGAUGUUGCAAGUAAUAAGAAGGCAGAAAAGAGAUUGCAGGUUGAUCCUACUAUAUGGCCAAUAAUGAUCUUUAGGGUCUGCUAGAAAGAUUGGAGACUGCAGUUAAGCUUCUAUCUAAGACUUCACGCUAAGGACUUGAUGAAUUUAAGAUAUCAUAAUUUUGGCAUGGCUAGAAGCUUUGGAGGAAACGAGACGCAAGCAAAAGUAAACACACGGAGAGUUGUUGGCACAUAUUAAGCUAGAUACUGCAAUUGUAUAUAAAUAAGUUCAUUUUUUAUAACAUUUACUCACUAUUGGAAUAAUUAUUUGUAUUUGACAUAUUAGUGAAAUGAAUUAUCUUUGUUAUUUAUGGUAUUUUAUUUUGUAUUAUGAGAUUUUUAAUGUAUUAUUUAAUUUGAAAAUUAGAAAAUCUAUAAAUAAUAUUUUUUUAAACAUUUAAAAUUAUGAUACGCAAAAAUGUGUGACAUCUUCAUUUAUGACAUGGCCUUUCUUGACAGGGGCUUUCUUGAUACGCAUUGCGUGUCAUUAACAUGCACGUCGUAAGAUUACGACACGCGAAUGUGUGUCGUCUUCCUUUAUGACAGGGCCUUCCUUGAUACGCAUUGCAUGUCGUAAACGCGCGUCGUAAUUGCGCAUCGUAAAUGAGCGUCGUAAAUGCGCGUCGUCUCUCUUUAUGACAGGGCCUUCCUUGACGCGCAUUUGCGCGUCGUCUGAGCCUUUUAUGACGCGCAAUGAGCGUCGUAACAUGCUGUUUUUCUAGUAUAUAAAUAUUAUUAAUUUAUAUUAUUAUAAAGUAUAAGGGUUGAAUUUGAACUUUUAAAAUUCUAAGGGCUAACUUGGAAUUAAAGUAUUCAUAAGUGAAAACUUUUCAAAUUCCAAAACUUGAGGGCAUGUUUUGAAACUAUUCAAAACUAAUUAAUUCCAUAACUUAUGUGUUUAAAGUAGUUUUAAAUAAAAAACUCUUCAAGUUCCAUAACUUGAGGACAAGUUAUGGAAGACUUUAAACUAAUAAAAGAACUAACUUUUUCUUUAUUUUAUAACUUAUGGAUUUAAUUAUGGUUACAUAUUUUUCUUUAAUGAAGUGACUCUUGAACUUCCAUAACUUGAGGACAAGUUAUGGAGUCAUAAAAAAUUAUUCAAUGACACAAGACUCUUCAUUUUGUAACCAUUGCCAACUCUUAUGAAUUUUAUGAGUCUUUAAUGUGACUCUUCAUGUAACUUGAGGACAAGUUACACAAACACAUUUUAUACUCAACUCUUAGAUUAAAAUGGAUUGAAAACAACUAUUUCAAUUAACUUUUCUAUUAAUCUAAGCAACUCAUAAGAACAAGAUAAUUCAAAUCAAACUUUUUCAUGUAAUUAGUCUAAACCUUAAACUAAUACAAAACAUGAAUCUAUUGACAAUUAUCUUUGAAAAUGGAUUAGCAUGAACAUUACCACAUCAAAAACAAGUUUAUAAGUUCAAAAACAACUUAGGGUAAUGUUCCUAGUCCAUUUCUAGCCAAAAAACUCGAAAAUAUGCUGUCUGGGGGUCCAACUCGUCGAGUGCAUGAACAAACUCGGCGAGUUGGA
RNAcentral lists this long non-coding RNA (82742 nucleotides) under Lactuca sativa (garden lettuce). RNAcentral describes it as "long non-coding RNA (LSAT_LNC010168)". The record is from RNAcentral. Lineage: Eukaryota; Viridiplantae; Streptophyta; Magnoliopsida; Asterales; Asteraceae.